RNAcentral lists this long non-coding RNA (66780 nucleotides) under Lactuca sativa (garden lettuce). Its description in RNAcentral is "long non-coding RNA (LSAT_LNC003309)". Lineage: Eukaryota; Viridiplantae; Streptophyta; Magnoliopsida; Asterales; Asteraceae. The record is from RNAcentral.
GUCUAUAAGGGGUGUUUAAGGAAAUUGCCUAUAAAAUGGCGAUUGAAUGGGUAUCCACUCUUACCCACCGCACUCUUGACUAGUGGAGGGUCGUUAGCCGAACGGGUAGGAUAGGACGAAACCUUCCAUUAUAAGUAUAAUGAAGUAUAAAAGUAACUAAAUGUUUUCAUAAAAUUCCCAAUCUUAGUUACUUAGGCAAAAGUGAAUUGAUGCAAUUCCAUGAAAUUACACUUUGUGCCCUUGCGAAGACGUUAGUGGAGCGUGUGUGGUUUACCGGCACACUAAAUGGUUCUAAGCAAAGGUAGCAAAGGGUGACUCAAUGUUUGUCAUAGUUCGGUGGAGCGUGUGUGGUUUACCGGCACAUCGAAUAGGUGACUGUAACAUGUGAGGGCACCAUGUAAGUUUGCAUGGUUAUUCACACCCGCUUUGUGAUCCUCGGCAUCCCAGUCACAAACAAGAGGGGCAUAUCGAGAUUUAAACAUGCCAUUGAAAUGUUCAAUGAAUCUCAAAGGAUCUAGGAGUUUUCAUAGAUUUAAAACUUAAAUUUCUUUUUCGUUUUUCAUGGUGGAAAUUAGUGAAUCGUCAUUCACUUACCUUCAAAUGUUCUGCAAUUUGGGUUACGGCAUCCCUCUCCCGAGUUGUAGAAUAUUGUGUUGGGUCCUAGCCUUAGUAUCUCAUUUGGGUGAUUUACUAAGGACUCAAUCAAUCAACUAACUUGAAUUCGUUUUCUCCCGUUUUGUAGAUGUCAAAGUUCGACAACUAUGGUCUUCCCAAAUCCCGUGGAACAAGCAUUCCACAUGAAGAUGAUAUUCCACGAUUCGAUCGAGGAACAAGAAAUCAUGCUUCACUUCCUCCACCUCCUCCAAUUAUUCUCCCUAACCCACAAGUUCAAAGGCUUGAAAAGUUCAAGAUCACUCAAGCCCUUUUGGCAAGUAAACAUAAAGAAGGAAAGUCGGUGUGUGCACACGUCCUAGGGAUGAAGUCACACAUUGAUAGGUUAAGAAUGUUGGGAUCCGUUGUCUGUGAGGAAAUGGCUGUUGAUUGGGUUCUUCAGUCACUUCCUAACUCAUAUAGUGAGUUCGUAAGAGAGUACUAUAUGAUGAACCGCGACGUGACCCUUAUAGAUCUCACCUAUAUGCUUAUUGCUGCUGAAUCAGCAAUGGUUUGGCGCAAUAGAAAAGCAAAGUUGAUUGGUGAAUCUGCCUUCAAGACCUCUAUGGAUAUAGACAAUGGCAACGAAAGACAUGCUAUGAUCGAAAAGUUUGAUCAUAAGAGAAAGGCAAUGUCUGAAGUAGUUCCAUGUCCUGUUCCAAAAGAGUCAAUUUGCUUUUAUUGCCAAGAGAAGGGGCAUUGGAGACGAAGCUGCCCUAUUUACCUAAGAGAUCUAAGAGAUGGGAGAGUCAAAACGUAUGGCUCUGCUUUAGGUAAAAUCCAUUGACUAACUCUUUUAAGCUUCUAUUCUAGAUUCUUAAUACAUAAUGUGAUAAGAUUACAAUUGAUGUUUUGUAGGAUCGAAGAAAAGAAAGGAAGCUUAAGGGAAGAAGUGAGCAGAAUCUAACCGUGAAGGAAUGGAUUUCGAUCGCAUUUCUCGAAGAUUAGAUUCUUGAGCUACUACUUAGAGUUAGAAUUAGAUUGCUAAGAAAGAUGUAUUAGCAUAGUUUUUCAAUGAAUUGCAUUGUAAGGACAAAUUUUUCCGCAAUAAAAUAAAUUUUGAUUUUAAAUUUUAUUUAUUUAUCCUUACAAUGGCGUGUAUGAAAAAUUGAUGUUAAAAUGUUUCUAUUAUUAGCAAUAAUGGAUUUGGUUCUUAUUAUGUUAUUUAUGGAAAGUCGAGAAUUUACCAAAUAGGGAGAGUUUCUCAUCGCCCAAGUUUCAAUUGGACAGAAACUUGGAAUCAUGCAACUUGGUUGCACGAUGAAUGAGAAAUUUCAUAUUUGGAAAUUAGACUAAUUCAUUGACAAAGUGUCAAGUGAAGGACUAGGAGAUCGAGUACACAAAGUUGCGUGUUGAUCAAGUCCACCAUAAGAGUAACAAAGAUAUUCGUCAUGAUUUACUAAAGGUUUAGUAAAUAUGAUUAUACUUAUAAGAUUAAGUGUAAUUCUGAAUUGAUUGAAAAAGUUUAAAUCAAUAGCAGAACGAAUAAGAAGAAUCAAGUAGGCAGAAAGAUAAAAGUUUCUCCAUUCUAAGAAGAAGGGAGAGUACCUUUUAUGCUUUAUGAUAGGUCUUAAUGAUUAAGAACCAUAUCUCAAUUGAUCCUCUAAGUGAGUCUUAGUACAAUUGUAUGUCUAAGAAGAGGAAUCAAGAAUUGAAGAAAUGGUUAAAUCAAGAAGUCAAUCAUACUUCGUUCCAAAACAAGUCUUAGAGUUAAGAUUGUGACAUUGAGUGAUAAGUAUUAAGAAGGUUUAUAACAUUCAUUAAAUGUGGAAAGUUGUGAUGUCUUGGAUAAGACAAAGACCAACUAGGACCAAUUUAUGAAGUGUUUUGAUAAAAGCUACACUAACUCUUGAAUAUUUGUUUGUCAAGAAAUGUUUUUUGACAAGAGAAUCUUAUAUGUCAAGGAGUCAGUGGGAGUCUUAAUGGUCUUGAAAGGUUUCAAGAACAAAUCAAAUAAACCUUAUCGAUCAUCACUAGCACACGAGUUGAGGUUUACAACCUAUCGUGUUGACAUUAUUUUGAUUCUGUGCCAAUCCAAUCGAGUUAAUUAUGCAUGUGAGUUCUAUGAGUUCUCAUUUUGAACGCAUAAAAGGCAAAGCACCUUAAUCAAUGAAAGGUACAUUGAUAGGAAAGGGUGAGCUGCUUAACUACUUGGAAGACAUGGUGGGCAGCUGUGCUACCAUAAAGGCAAGAAAUCGAGAUCAAGAAAGUUCGAUCCAUAAGAGUUUGAAUUUGUCGUAAACUUUGGUUUUGACAAAUUCACAUGGAUAGGAACAAAUACACCGUUUAAAUCUAAGUGUCAUAAGAUUUCCUCCUUCAUGAAAAUGAUUGUGAGGAAAUGCUUUCACUAAGAAAGAUUUUAAGAAGAUAGUGAUUGUAAAAUUGCAUUCUCGAAUUCAAUUAUGGUUACGGCAUCCCUUUCCAUAAUUUGAAUUGUGAGGUUUGGCAAUUAGUCUUAAUUGUUUAGACACACAUAUGAACUAUCGAAGGCAAAUGUGUAUAAGUUCAAGAAACCUUGAUAAAAGAUUAUCAAAGCACUAAGUAUUAGAAACAUGAACUUAAGAAAUUCAAUAAGCAUUUUUUUUCUGAAAGUUAAGAUGUUUAUGAAUACAUGUCGAAGCUAGUGGGAGCAUAAGUGUUAUGUUUUAUAAUAAUCAUCAAGAUAGUGGGAGCAUAAAAGUUAUGAUUGUAUGAUUAUUAAGGAAAGUAUUGCAAGGUUAGCAAUAUUAAUUAUAGAAAACAAGAGUCAUACUUUGCAAAGUCGCAAUAGUUGAAGAGUUGUUUUGCUAUAAUUAAGGGAGAGAAUAUUAUGCUUCAUUUCAAAUCUAAAGGUUUAGGUUGAGAAAUGUUAAUAAAAUUUAGUCAAAGGUACAAAGUGUGUUCUUAAAAUUUCGAUUAUGAUUACGGCAUCCCUCUUCACAAUUCGAAUUUUGAGAACAUAGCAAAUAAAACAUUAUGCGUCGUGUCCCAUACGCUUCGGGUAUAGGAUCGAUUGCAAAUGCUUUAAUGUUUGACCAUUCUAAAAUUUUCCAAAUGUCGAGCGCAUUUAGAGGGAAAAGGGACUAGAAUUGGUUUUGACUAAAAUAAUUAAACAACUAUCAAAGGACAAUCCAAAGUUCGACGAGGAUUGGUCGCUUGUGAGUAGUUGGAAGUAUAGUAUUGGAAAAUAUGGAAAUGUUUCCAUAUUGGAUGGACCAUAUCGACAUCAUUACGAAUAGAUAAGAUUCUAUUAAGAAUGAGUUGUCAUAUGGAACAUAUGGAAGUGUGUCCAUAUUGGGAAUUGAAUAUUGAGAAAUCUAUGACUAGAUUAGAAACUUCUAUGCAAAAGGAUGUUCAAAGAAUGUACUUUGAGUGAGAGACAUCACAUCUAUGGAAUUGUCUUGUAACAAUCUCCGAUAGAGGACUUUGUAAUAUCAUUGGCAAUAGUCUUUGUGACUUUGGUGCAGUGACAUUACGAAAGGAUAGUUGCAUAGAAUGUUAGAAUCUAGCAUAUUCUAUAAGUAGCAAGAAUUUGAUAUUCUUACACUUAUGAAAAAGGAUUUGGAGUUGUGAAAUGAGAAUGAUUGGAAAUGUGUUCAAUGUGAUCUAUUUCACAAAGUAAGAACCAUAGGUAAACAUUGUGUGCAUGCUAGGAGCAUGGGACAAGUGUUGUAAUUCAAGUAAGAAGUUGAUUACCCGAAACGACAAAUAAUGAGUAAUCAAUAUGGUGAUAAAUAAAAGGUGUUUUAUUUAUACUCAAAGGUUUGAGGCCAUAUGGGAUUAGUAUUAUUCUUGUGUUUCACAUUUGCAUGUUUUGACUUCCAGAAUAAUUGAGUUUAUUAAGAAUAAUCGAAUUAUUCGAACGGGCCACAGUCGUUCAUAUGUUGGAAGUAGAUAUGAAUGAAGACUGUCGUGAAUUGGUGUGUGGAUUGUCUAAAAGAGUAUUAGACAUAAGCAAAUGUUUGCUGCAACGUUCAUGAGUGCUUAUGAAUAUGAUUUGAGCAUUGGAUUAAACCCACGCUCACUUGGAUCACUCCAUGAAUUGUAUCACGAGUGAUUGGUGAGACGAUAACAUCUUAUAUUCUUGAAACCGAGAUGUGUGAGUUGUAUCUUGCAAAUCGGUUGCACAUUGAUAAUAUGUAAACGCACUAGUAACUUGGUGUUAUAAAACAUAUUGUUGUGUGUGAUUUGGUUAGUGAGUGCAAGCAAGCAUUGUAUCAAAGUUUAUCCGUUCCUUUUAUCCAAAGUAGGAUAAAAGCGAUAUCUUUGGGCCCCUCGAUGAUUUAGUGAUGACAAACGUAAAUGCUCGGCCGGGCUAGGGCUAAUUUGAUUUGUUCAAUUAGUCAGUCGUCAUAAAUCGGGAAUCGAGAUAUAGUACAAAGAGAAUGAUUUGAAAUCAUAUCUCAUAUGAUAUCUAGAAUGGAGGAAUAUAUGAUCCCUUAUCUAAGGACACGCGUAUCUGAUAGGAUCAGAGUUGACAGCGGCUUUGGAAAGCUACGAUUGCAGAUCAGGAUCUGAAGUCAUACGCAGAAUAGUUAUUAGACUUAUCCAAGUGGGAGACUGUUGGAUUAGUGUCUAAGUCCAUAACUAUUUUGGUAUGUACUUGACCCGAUGGUGCAUGGUCCUUUUGGGUUGCCUUCACCAAAGCAACUUGAUUGGAGAAAUAAAUAGAGAGAGAGGUUAUUAUGAUUUAUUAAUAUGUUAUAAGAGUAAUGUAUUAAAGGAGAAAUCAUAUUUGUUUAAUUAAUAUUGGUCAAUAAUUAAUUAAGAAUUAAUUUUGUGAUCAAGUGUAAUUAGUUAAACUAGAGGGGCUGAAUUGUAAUUAUGUGAUAGUUACAAAAUAUGGUAAUGGUUAUCCUAAAUAUGGUUUGAACAAAUUCAAGGAGAUAAGGAUCCUUGAAAUCGUCCAAAGGAUAAAGGAUAAGGGUUUUCAAGGCUUAUCUUAUGGUUGCUUUGUGGAUAAGCAACUAGAUAAGGAUAAUGACUGAAACCCUAUCNAAGGACUAAAACCCUAAUCUCUACACCUAUAUAAAGACCCCUAAGGCUCAUGAAUUCGUCCAUGCCUUCCCAAGAGGUCCUAGAGAUGAAUUCUUAUACCUCUCCUUUCUCUUUAUACCUUCUCCAUUUGCUCUUGGUGUUUGUAAGCCAUUAGAGGAGUGACACUUGUGACUCUAAGCCUUCCAAAGUCAAUUCAAGGAGGAAUUGGGAUUGUUAUUGCUACAUAACAAUCAAGGUAAUAUCUUAAACCUAAUUAUAUGUUAAUAUUGAUUUCCAUAUGCUAGAAUUAGGGUUUAUAGUCUUGGAUUCAAAGCAUGUACAAUAGAGAAACCUAGAUCCAAGCAUUAGGGUUUGUAUGAGCACAUAGGAUGUCUUAUGACAAAAACCCAUCAGCUUUCCCAUGGUCUUUCGUAGAUCGGUAGUGGUUCUAAUAAUCCCGCCGGUUUGGCCUGUUCGACCUUAUCUUGUUGACAAAUAAGGAAAGUCCUCACAUAGGUGUCUAUGUUACUUCGCAUAAUUGGCCAAUAAUAGGAUCGUUCUAUGAUUGCUUUCGUACGAUGAGUACUUGGAUGUCCAGCCCAUUUGGAUUCAUGACAUUCCUUUAGGAUUUCUCUUCUCAAGUUGUUCCAUCUUGGGACAUACAUUCGAUUGCCGACCGUGAAUAAUAAUCCGCCUUCGACCCAAAAUUUUCUGGUCUUGCCUUCUCUUGCCAUUUCCAUUAAGUUCUUCGUUAACGGUCGUGAUUUAGCCCUUCCUUGAUCCGGUCAGCAAAAUCGCAUGUUACUCGAGAGAGGGUUGCUAGUUCGGCCUUUCGACUCAGGGCCUCCGCAAUUACAGUGGUUUUUCCCGGCUUAUAUUCCAUGACAUAAUCGAAUUCUGCUAAGAAAUCUUGCCAACGAGCUUGCUUAGGACUUAUCUUCUUCUGAUUUUGGAAGUAACUAGUCGCCACAUUGUCGGUUUGGAUAACGAACCGACUCCUAAGCAAAUAGUGUCUCCAUAAUCGAAGGAAAUGUAAGAUUGCUUUCAUUUCUUUGUCGUGUACUGGGUUUCUCCGUUCUGUAUCAUUUAGUUUCCGGCUUUCGUAGGCCACUGGAUGGUCAUCUUGUAAUAACACUCCUCCAAUCGCGAAGUCUGACGCAUCCGUUUGCACUUGGAAUGGUUUCGUGUAGUCUGGUAGCUUUAAGACCGGUUCCUCCGUGAAAGCUUUCUUUAGAAGAUCAAACGUCAUUUGACACUUCUCAGUCCAUUCCCAUGAAACUUUCUUUUUUAGAAGGUCGGUGAGGGGAGUGGCUUUAGCUGAGUUUCUGCCGGAUAUAAAUCUUCGAUAGUAGUUUAUAAGGCCUAGGAACGAUCGUAGUUCAGAAACAUUCUUUGGUGGCUCCUAUUCUUGGAUUGCUCGUAUCUUGUUGCUAUCCAUAUGGAUCUUCCCAUCAACGAUCCUAUGCCCUAGGAAUGUUACUUCUGGUUGGGCAAAGGAGCAGUUUUCUAUCUUUAUGUAUAAUUGGUUUUCCCUGAGUACUUGGAAGACUAACCGCAAGUGUUCAACGUGCUCUCCUAACGACUCUGAGUAAACUACAAUGUCGUCGAAGUACACCACUACGAAUUUGUCCAAGAAUGGGUGGAAUAUCUUAUUCAUUAAAGUGAAGAAUGUGGUAGGGGCAUUUGUCAAUCCAAAAGGCAUGACUAAGAAUUCGUAGGAGCCAUACCUUGUCACACACGUUGUCUUUGGUUCGUCCCCUGUUGCUAUGCGUACUUGCCAAUAACCCGACCUUAAGUCCAGCUUUGUGAACCAUCGUGCACUCUCGAGACGGUCAAAUAGAUCAGCUACCAGUGGGAUCAGGUACUUGUUCUUUAUCGUUACUUUGUUCAGGGCCCGGUAGUCUAUGCACAUUCUUAGACUUCCGUUAUGUUUCUUCUGGAACAAGACUGGGGCACCGAAUGGGGCUUUUGAAGGGCGGAUAAAUCGUAGCUCUUUAAAUUGUCUUCUUAGCUCUUCCAACUCCGGUGGAGCCAUUCUAUCAGGACACAUCGCCGGUGGCUUAGCUCUGGGCUCGAGUUCUAUCUCGUGAUCCACUUCCCUUCUCGGUGGUAACUUCUUUGGUAACUCUGGCGGCAUCACGUCCUUGAAUUCUUCUAGUACUUUUUUCACUAUCUCUAGCAUCUCUUCAUUGAGAGGGGUGGUUUCUUCUUUUAACGUUGCUAAGUAUGUCUUUUCUCCCUUCUUUAGUCCCUUGUUGAGUUGCAUGGCCGACAAGAUCCGGGACUCCGUUUUGCUUCUUUCCAAGGGUACGAUGUGUAUCGUUGAAUCCUUGGUGAUAUACAUGGUUUGAUCUUCGAACGAGAAAGGGCGUACCUGGUCGAAGAAAUCCAUCCCCAAGACCAUGCAAUAAUCAUCCAUGGGUACUACGGUUAGAUCGAUAGGACCCUUCCAUCCUCCGAUCUCGAUAACUACCCCAUAAGCUACUCUAAGAAUAGGCUCGGAAGGAGAGUUGACAACUUUCAACCAUCCUAUUUCUUUGGUGUAUUGAAUGUUCAUCUUUUCAGCUUCAUUUUUAGAAAGGAAAUUAUGGGACGCACCUGUGUCUACUAAGGCUUUAGUGACUUUCUCGUUUAUACUAACUUCCAGAAACAUGAGUCCUCUUUCCUUCUUCGAGUGGGUCUCUUCUUUUCCCACCGAAUUGAGGCGUUGCAUUGAGCCUAGUUGUGCCUCGUCUAUCUCUUCCUUUUCUUUUUCGAAGACCAUCGCAUUGAAGCUUUUCUUCUUGGGACAAUCUUUGAUUAGGUGAGGGCCGUCACAUAAGUAGCACUUGACUUCCCUUCGAGGUCCCCCUUCAAUCGCCUUCCCCUUGAAAGUUGAUGGUCUUGCAGUGGGUUUAUCAUCCUUCUGUUGCGGCCUAGUUGUCGGUCUCUCUCCCCACUAGGUUUCCUAAUCGGGGUAUCUCUUCGGAAGUCCAUAAGGUCUUCCGCUACUGCUAUAGCUUCGUCAACAUCUUGGACGUUCCUCCUCUUGAGCUCGUUGUAAUCCCAAGAUUGUAGUCCAUCUUGGAAGUAAAAUAACUUGUCUUUCUCCUGUAAAUCGGGUAACUCCAGCAUCAAGGCAGUGAACUUUGCUAUGUAAUCUUUGAUAGACCCGACAUGUUUCAAUCCUUGGAGUUUCUUCAUGGCAACGUCUUCAGGAUUAUGGGGGCAUAAUUGUUUCUUGAGUUGUCUCUUAAACUCGUCCCAAGUGUCUAUGACAUAUAAGCCUUUUUCAAUGUCGCCAUGCUUCCGCCUCCACCAUAGUGUCGCGUUUUCAAUCAAGUACAGAACGGCGGUGUCUAUUUUGUACUUCUCAUCCUUUACUCCGAUAGCAUUGAAAUAACAUUCUAGGGACCAGAAAAAUUCUUCAAGUAGUUUCGGAUCAUGCUUACCUCCAUAUUUCGAGGGUUUAGGUGCUUCUUUGUGUGGCGUCAUCUUUGUGACAGAUCCUACGGCUAUCGCUGCUUUGCAUAGCUUCACCUCAUCUUCUAAAGCGAUUAUCUUCUCACGAAUCUCAUUUCGCAAGGUGUUGACAAGUCCAAGGACUUCUUCCUUGAUGACACCGAUGGUCUCCUUCAAUCCAUCGCUCAUGUCACUUAUCUCCGCAACGAACUGAUCAACGAUAUCCUUCCAUUCAAGGAUCUCCCCGAUGUUGAUCUCCGUCCUUGUAAGCUUGUUUUCUAAGCUUGCCAAGGUAUCUAUCGAUUGGUCCCUCUUCUUGGACUUUCUUCCUCUCUCUUCGACGAUAGGGGGUAGGUUAACUAUUUCGCUACUUCCUGCUUCCAUAGUCAUGAUCUCUUGCUUGUACGAAACCUGGCUCUGAUACCACGUGUCACGGGACAACACAAUCACCGUGUGCCACUUAGUGUAACUUUGACUAAGUCAGGCUAGGACACUUCUUUUGGAUGUACUAAGUAAGCAAGAGAAUAAAGGCUUUGAAGUUUUUACAAACGAAAGAGAACUUCUAUUAGAGAGCUCGAGAGAAUACAAUAGAACUUCCAAUGGUUUGGAGCAAAUGAGAUCCUCCUUAUUUAUACUUGUCCUUCCCCCUCUUAGGAAGUUUCUAGAUAUUACUACAUUAGUCCUAUAUUCUUGACUAAUCUAGAAUAUUCUACCAAGUUACAUAUAUUUACAAGUCUUCAUGAAAUGUUCUAAAUCAUUCUUUGAUGUCCUAGAGAAAUCUAGGACGUCCAGGGUCUAAUGUGCUAUACUUGUAAGUUCUCCCAUUUUCUUGAGUACUCCGGAAGAGUCUAGAAUCUCGAUCGUGACAUUUAGGGCUCAAGGAGGAAAAAUGUAUUCCUUGUGGAAGGAUGUAAUGUUGGUUAAGAGAUUUAAUCCUUGAAUUAUGUUUUGGGUCGAAGGGUAGAAAGAGAAAUGUCAUAGAUCGUGUUCUUGCAUGAAAUAUGAAUUUUUGUUUGAGAAGUUUUUAGUCCAAGAUAUUUAGAUAAUAUUGUAGAACUCUUCAAUACCUUUCCGUGGAUAUAAAGAACAUCGAAAACGGAGUUGGAACGAAGAAGUUACGAUCGUUUGAAGCUAGGACCAUUUUUGGGUCAACCACGUACGCUGGGUGUAAAUUGAGUACGUUGGGCGUACUAAGUAUACCUGAGUACGUUGGGCGUAAAUUGAGUACGUUAGGCAUAUGUGAUCAGUGCCUAAACCCUAUUUUUGUGGUUUGAGCUCUAUUUAAGCUCGUUAACUUCCCUAAGCCCAUUCCAUUCUCAGCCUCCACCUCUCCAACACCCUCUCUUGAAACCCUAACCCUAGAUUGAGCCUUGUGAGCAAAAAUAAUGUGUUUUUAAGUGCUUUGGAAUGUUCUUGGUGCACCUUGGAGAAGAAGAAACUCAUUGAAGAAGUGUUGGUUAUUUUGGAGUUUGUAGAUCCAGAAUUUGUUCACCUUGAUCUUUCUUCUAGAUGUAUAAAGUUUGAAUCUUGAUGAUGAAAUUGUUAGAUCUAGCUAGUAUUGGGUGUUACGAGCUUUUGGUCACUUUAAGUGCAUAAAGUUUAGAUCUUGAAAGUUUGUGACCUUGUUAUGGAUAAAGUUGGAAACUUUAUCCAUCUAAAAAUUAUUUUGAUUCAGAUCUAAAGGUUGGACACUUGGACUUAAUGGAUUAAGUUGAAAAAGAUGCACUUUUGGGUCCCUUUGAGACUUAAAGACUAGAUCUUAUUUUUUGGGAGCAUUCUAACAGAUAAAGUUGGAAAGUUUAUCCAUUAUGGAGCUAUUGUGAACCAUAAAAAUGUGAUAUUUAUAUCCCUUCUAUACAAGAGUUGUGAUGUUUUAUUAGGUUAAGAACUUAGGGUCUUGGACAUUAAGCACUUUAUACCAUGCAAAGUCAUAAAGUUGGAAACUUUAUGACAUAGAACAUUAUUUGGGCUUGGAUCUGAGUUUUGGACGUAAGGGCUUAAAGAAAUAAUCUCUUAAUUGAGUUUUAGGACUAGACGGCAUACACUGGGCUUACCUGGUGGAACGCUACGUGUACGCGGUCAGCACCCCACUAUUGGUCAACAUCAGAGUAUGCUAGGCGUACUCUCUUGGUAUGUAGAGCGUACUCCGCUGGGAAGAAAUAUUGACUUUUGGACCUUGACUGUUGACUUUGACUUUAACCAAGGUUAACCAAGUUUGACCUAAGGGCAUUUUGGGUAAUUUGAUUAUAGUUUGAGAAUUAGGUUCUGUUAAUUGUAUAGGUGACCGAUAGAGACAACUUUUAGAGAAGUGAUCGGUGCAACUGUUCUUUAAGACUGUGAAGUGAGUUUCCUCACAGUGUUUUAGCGUGUCAAAUGAACCAAUGUCGGUCCAUGGUUUUUUUAUGUUAGAAUGCUAGACAUCUACAUAACUCUUGCAUAUGAUAUGUGUUUAUAUGUUUACCGGACGGGGCCUAAUGCCGAGCGGAGCCCGAUGACUAUCAUGUAUGUUAUUUAUCUUUCUGAUUAUUGCAUGUGUUUAUAUGGUUAUAUGUUUAUUUGUUUAUAUGUAUACCGGGCGGGGUUUGAUGUCAGGCGGGGCCUGAUGAUUGACAUAUCUGUUUACCAAGCAAGGCCUGAUACAGGGCGGGGCCCAUUACUUGUUUGAUAUGUAUGGUAUGUGGUAUUUUAGGGGAACUCACUAAGCUUUGUGCUUACGAUUCUCAGUUUGUGUUUUAGGUACCUCGAUUUAAAAAAAAGGAAGAGCUUGGGUUGACAACAUUACACACACCACAUUGUUCCACAUUUUAUAAAACUCUGAUAUAUUUGGAUGUUUAUUGGCAUACGCUGAGUUCACUACAGUUUUUACGAUAUUUUUUUUGAAGUUCUGGAACGGUCCAGCAAUCUAAUUACCGACCAUGCCAUCAUGCAUCUUGAUAUGCACCAUGCCACUACCUUUGAUACUGCUCACCCAAUCAUCACCCAUCUCUACUGUGCCAUCCCACUCUUUGAAGGAGUCGAACCAGUCAUGAUUAUACAUCAUGUGAUAGGAUGCUCCAGAAUCCAAGACCUAAGUAUCAGCAGAACUAGAUGUACACACAGUUAGUACAGCACCAUCGUACCCUUCAUCAGAACUUUCCUGAACCACAACAGCAGUGUUAUUGCUGCUUGAUUCACUCUUGGACUUUCCAUUCCUCAGCUGUGGAAAAUUUCACUUGAAGUGCCCCUUCUCCUUGUAGUUAUAACAUUUCAUGUUUGAUGAUCCUUUAGACUUUGAUUUUGAACUUGAUCUCCCUUUGUGUCUCCCUUUCCUCUCUUCUGUCCUCCCUCACCUUGCAAACAAAUCGGGACUGGACACCGCCUGUCCACCUGAAAUUUUUCUUUUCAAUUCCUUGGACGUCAGAGAGUCCUUCACAUCAUUCACAGUGAAUGUUGUCCUACCAUAAAUCAUGGUAUCAACAAAAUUCUCAUGUAAGUUAGGAAGUGAACAUAAGAGAAUGAGCAUCUAAUCUUCAUCUUCAUUCUUCACAUCAACACCUUGUAGAUCUAAGAUGACGCAAUUGAAGUUAUCCAGAUGAUCUUUCACUUAGGUACUUUCAGACAUCCUAAGAGUGUACAACCUUUGGUUAUGAUACAACCUGUUCAUCAAUGAGUUGUUCUGGUACUUGUCACAAAGUUUAUCCCAGAGCCAAGAAGUUGUUGUUUGAUCCACAACCUCCCUCAGUACUUCAUCUAUCAAGCUCAAUAGAAUGGCACUAUGUGUCUUCUUCAGAAUAUCCACUUUCUUAUCAACCGCCAUAUCCUUUGGCAGUUUUGUUUCUCCUUCCAGUGGCGCCGCACAUCCUUGUUGAACCAGAAGAACCCUCAUAUUCACCUUCCACAAAGUGAAGUCAUUUGAUCCAUUGAACUUCUCUAAAUCGAACUUGUGAGUAGACAUCUUCAAUCACAAGAAUAUAAACCACAGCUCUGAUACCACUUGUUAGGAAGUAAUGCGGAUAACAAGCAAAACCAAAAAAACACAAAAGACAUAGUAUUUACGUGGUUCGGUCAAGGAGACCUACGUCCACGGGCAGGAGGGGAGUAUUCUUUAUUUCAGAGCUCUAAACACAUAGGUUACAAGUACAAUUACAUAGAGAUUCGCCUAUCACUCUAGAAUUCAAGAUACAAAAUGACAUAGCAUGCAUCCCUAUUUAUACUUGAGGGAUCAGACCUAAAACCCUAAUGGGCCAAGCCCAUUGGCCUAUAGGCCCAUGAAGGGUGUUACCAAUCACAAUCCGCCAUACACCAUCUUCUGGAACAUUCUUGAGCAUUAUCAUCUUCUAGGCAUACUUGGAUCAACAUGGCACGAUAAAGGAAUAAAUAUGGCGCAUCAUGUACCAAGAUGGUCCAUGAUGGCACAAUAGCUUCUUCAUGGCGCAACAGCAACCCUAGUUGGCGCAACAAGGAUCUAAAUGGUGCAAGAGCAUCAAGUAUGGCACACAACAUCAAUUUUGGAGCAACAACAACACCAUGAGCAACAGGCACGUGCAUGGCUCAACAAGGCCAUGCAUGGAUCAACAGGAAAACAAGAUGGCGCAAGAGGAGAACAAUAUGGAGCAAGAGCAUCCCUUUUUACCCAUCUUUUCAUCAUGUGGAGAAACAAGUGCCCCUUGUUGCUCCAUAUCCCUUCCAAGUCCUCCAAACUCCUUCCAGGUGCUCUAAAACCCCUUGUACACGAUCCAUUCCUUUGGCACUUGAUCAGUUCCUUUUUCUGAUGAUCCAUUCCUUUCUUAGAAGAUCCGUUCCUUUGUUACAUGCUCCAUGAACCCCAAGUGCUCCAUUGAGUUCCAAGUGCUCCAAAUGCUUCUUGAACAUGAUCCAAAUGCUCCAUAUGUUUGAGUCACAAUUAACAGAUUUGAAUCGGGGUUUUCCUGUUACCACCACAUCAAUAUAAAGUGGCAUUGGGGUACUCAUAUUUUCAUCCCUCUCCUCCCUCCUAAAAAGCAGGGAAUUUUGUUUCUGACCUCUCUCUCUUUCUUAUCUCUCUCCUUAGUUUCUAGGGUUCUUGUUUUUUUGGUGUGAACCAUUAAAGAUACUCUACUUUUGGUACUAUUAUUCCAAGAAGAAACAAAGAGCAUCAAUAGCUCAAGUCUAAAAGGAAAUCAAAUUGUAUAAAGUUUAGUAUUUGAAUCCCUCCUCUUCUAGCUUCUUAUGUUAGUUUUAAAAGUAUGUUUUUGUAAUAGUAAAACUUAGAUCUUCGGGUGCAUGUAAACUUAGGAUAAUUUGCGAAUGCUUCUGUGUGAUCAUAUUUUCAUCCCUCUCCUCCCUCAUGAAAAGCAGGGAAUUUUGUUGCUCACCUCUCUCUCUUUCUUAUCUCUCUCCUUAGUUUCUAGGGUUCUUGUUUUUUGGUGUGAACCAUUAAAGGUACUCUAAUUUGGUACUAUUAUUCCAAGAAGAAACAAAGAGAAUCAAGAGUUCAAGUCUAAAAGGAAAUCAAAUUGUCUAAACUUUAGUAUUUGAAUCCCUCUUCUUCUAGCUUCUUAAGUUAGUUUGAAAAGUAUAUUUUUGUAAUAGUAAAACUUAGAUCUUUGGGUGCAUGUACACUUAGGAUAAUUUGUGAAUGCUUCUAUUGCCAUGAUCUAGUGUAUAGUUGCAUAGAAAGCUCAACAAUGGUAUCAGAUCCAUAAGUUUUUAUUAUAUGCACAUGAUUUAAAACUUACAAUUUUGGAAAAUUAAAGAAACCUGAAUCGUAGGACGCAACAGGCCCUGCCAUAUUUUUAAUGUAUUUGGGAUUUUUGCUAUAUUUUCAAAUUUAGGGUUUAUCUUUAUUUUUAAUUGUGAUCUUAAUCUGUUAAAAUCUGUAUAACUAAAAUAGGAAGAUAAAUAUGUCUAACUGAUUUGAAGAUAUGGAUAAUUAUUUAAUAAUUAAUUAAUUAUAAGAUAAUUAAAAUAAAUCGUAAGAUUUUAAAUUGUUUUAAAUACACCCCUCAUAAAUUUUAAAGUUUAUAAUAGAAUCCAAAUUUAUAUGUAAUGCCUUAUAUAUGUAAAAGAAAAAUAUUGCCACUUCGUUUCUUUGUGUGGUGGAUUGUCGUUAUCCAAAAGGAUUCAUUAUGAUGAUGUCUAUUUAAAAUUAUAACAAAUAUAAGUACUAAAAAAAAUUCAUGUUCUUACUUAUUUUAGGAAAAUGUGAAUAGUUUCUAAUCAAUGAUUAAUGCACAUAAAUUGUUACGAACAUUGUUUAUGGAGUUGUGUGGAUAAUCGACACAUGAAUUUAAUAUGUAAAUAGACAAUGAUGUAGACUUAUGGUUCUGGCUUAUUGAUGAAGUGUGUGAGUGGAUAACCAACACAUCAAUAUGAGGGCCAUAACAUAAUCAAGGGUCUUUUUGCAUGGUUGGUUCACCAUCAUAUUUGUGAUACCUCUGUAACCUAGGCAGAAAUAUAGGAUGUGCAAAUCCGAGAUUAACAUGCCAUUAAUUAGUUUUAAUGAAUCUCAAGGAUCUAUGAGUUUCAUAGUUAGUUGAAAUUGGUAAAGUGUAUUACCUACCCAAAAUAAAUUUAUAAUAUGAUUAUGAUAUCCCUUUUCAUAAAGCAAAUUAAAAUAUGGAUCCUAAACUUAAAAUAAAUUGGGUAAUUGUUUAAGGAUUGAAUCAACUAAAAUCACUCUCUCUUUUAAUAGAUGUCGCGAAUUCCUCUUCUUCAUCCUCCUCCCACCAACUGAAACUUCUCAUUCAUUUAUGUUCUCCAAAGAGAGAAACUCAUUGGCGGGGCCAAGUACCUCGACUGGAUGAGGAACCUGAUGAACACUUUGUGGUAUGACAAUCGUGAGUACGUGCUCUAUGAUCUAAUUCCUAAAAUCGGUGAGCACUCAAUUGAUGAAGAGAAAGCCCUCCAUUCAAAACAUGUCAAUGACUCAAAUAAGUUCUAUUGUAUCUUAAAGAUCUAAUAUGCUCAAGAAUCAUAUUAAAGUGAUAUUGCUAAUUAACAUAUGAUACUAAAGGGUCACACUAACAACAACUUGAUAUAAUUGAUUAAUGAUUAGAAAUUGAUUUUAAUAAAUAUUCAAUAAACUCUUAUAAUUAAAUUGGAAAUUACUUAUUUCUAGGAAAUAAUAAUUUUCAUUAGCAAUUAGCAUUAUAUGUAAUUCAUGUGGUAUGGAUUGAUAAGUCAUGCACAACAUUUUGGACUUAAUAAAUUCUUUUCUCUUUUAACAAAAAGUUAAAGUUUAUAUUUUAUAAACUUGGUUUUUGAAAUAUAAAGGUUUUGUCUUCUUAUGAGCUCCUAGUUUUGAAAGUAAGAGAAGAAGUAAGAAGGCAUGGUUGUUUGAUUAAUUUAAGCAAAGAAUACAUGACUUACAAAGCAAGGGGACACGCAUCGUUUAGUGACAUGGGGGCUUUAGAGGUUAAGAGCUUAUGUGUAAAAGAAUCACUUUAUGAAGUCUUUCAUGCCUUCCAUUGGUUGAUAUAUAAAACCGUAACAUGCAUCAUAGAUGCAUGUUCUCUCCAUUUUGAAAGGCUUUCAAGUUUACUUUUUGCAUUUAUGCUCUCCUUGGAUCAUAUUUUGAUAUGAACUAAAGCUUAAGAGUUUAUAAGAGUUCAUGGAAUAACAUCUUCAUCAAGUUGAAAUAUUGUUGGUAUCACUAAAGUUAUACAUUCUUCAUCAACUUACAAACCUCCCAUGAGGAUCCAAAGGACAACAAAGGCUGUAUUUUCUCCAUCUCUUCUUUGGUUGGUGUUGUUUUAUUUCCAAACUUUGCAAAAUGAUCCUUGGCGGGUUUAACUUAUUUAUGUUAUUAAAAAAUGAUCAAGUCUUCUGUUACUACAUAUUAUGUUUUUGAAACUAGUUUUUGAAUAAAAACCCAACAAUAUCAUGAUCGAUUCAAUGUCAUCAGAUCUCCAAAAGACAUUCAAGAACACUUGGGCCUAUGAGAUGAACUUACAAUUGAUGAAAUGUUUCAACAGAGAGAAAGACAAUAUCAAUUCAAUGGAUUUAAUGCCCUAACAUCAUGAAAACAAAAAGAAGGUGGUUUUAUGUGUACUCAUGUAGAACGGAUGAAGAGCUACAUAGACAAAUUGAAAAACCUCGAUAUUGUCUUUAAUGAGAACCUAGCACCGAAUCUCAUGCUUGGUUCCUUUGAAAGUUCAUACGAUAACUUUAUCAUGAAUUACCAUUUGAAUAGUGUUGACAAGACAAUCAUGGAACUCUAUAGUCUUCUCCAGAAAGCUGAAGUCUACAUAAAGAAUGCUCUCGAUGUGCCAACCAAUCAAGUUAUUGCCAUCCAAAGUGGUGGUGGAAACAAGUGAAAGUGUUCCAAUCCCAAGUGGAAAGCGUUAUUAGUGGCUUCGCAUUCCCAGUGUGGGGAAAAGGCUAAAGGAAAUAGAACAUGCCCACCUAUGAGUGAUCAAAAGGAUAGUAGGGUUCAAGAAACCGGGUCUACUUCAAGUACUCAUAUUAUCGAACUUCAUAAUACUACUAUUUCUUAUUCAUGGGUUCUUGAUACUGGUUGUGGUGUUUACAUAUGUAUAGUAUUGUAGAGACUAAAAGGAAGAAGGAAGCGUAAGCUUAGGGAGAUUAAUCUGAUCAUGGGAAAUAAAUGAAGAGGGCCUAUCACAAUGGUUGGAGAGUUCGAAUUGAAGCUAGCUAGUGGAGUUAUGAUUAAUUUAGCUAAUUGUUAUUUUUGGGCUGAUAUGUGUAGAAACUUUAUUUCUUUCCAUGUAUUGCAUAAAGAAGGUUUUCCGUUUUCAUUUGACAAUGAAAAAGGUUACAAUAUAGUUUAUAAAAAUGCUUGUUUUCAUUUUAAUGCUUCCACUUGCAAUGACAUAUUUUAAAGUAUUGAUUGUGUUUCUAACAAAUACAACGUUAACUUAAAUAUUGAUUCUUCUAAUAAUCUAGAUAAAUCAUUAUUGUGGCAUUGUCGCUUAGUCCAUAUAGAUAAGAAGCACAUCGCCAAGCUCCAGUCAGAAGGAAUUUUGAAAUCACUCAACCUUAGAUCGGAUGAUGUAUAUGAAUCUUGUUUGUUAGGAAAGAUGAUAAAAUCAUCAUCCAUAGGCGAUUUUAUCCAUAGGCACUUGUGAAAGAGGUAAAGGAUUUUUGGAUCUCAUACAAAAAGAUAUGUGUGGACCCUUCAGAUCAUCCAUAAGGAAUAGUAAACACUACUACUGGAUUAGGUGUCUAAGCCUAUAACUAUAAUUGGUAUGUACUUGACCCAAAAGUAGCAUGGUCCAUUUCGGGUUGCCUUUAACAAAGCAAUUUGACAGGAUGGAUAUUUGAGAAAGAGGUUAUUUGUGAUUUAUUAAUAUAUUAUAAGAAUAAUAUAUUAAUUGAGAAAUCAUAUUAUUUAAUUCGUAUUGAUUAAGAAUUAAUUUGGAAUUAAUUUAGCGAUCAAAAGAGACUAAUUAAAUUAACAGGGACUGAUUAUGUAAAUGAGUGAUACAUAUGGAUUGGGCUAUUGAUCCAAGAUGGAAUAAGUUUAUGUGAGAUUCCAUGAAGAUUUAGUCCAUAUGAGUUAUUGGAUCAUAAGCCUAAGUGUAAGAAUUAAGGUUUGCAUAUGACUCUUGGAAUUCUACAAUAUAUAUGUAUUCCCUAAACCCUAAAAUCAUUACUAGUGUAUUCUAUGAUGCGUAUAACCGAUUUUUGUGUGAUUAACCUCUCUCAUUAUCUUCCACUUUUUCAUGGUGUUUAUGACUUGUUUGAGGAAUCACACUUGAGGUGUUAAGCUCUUGAAAGGCCAACAACUACAAGCUACAAAUAAGAGGUAUUCUUCUCACUAGUUUUAUGAUUCAUGUACCAAAUUUGUAUGCUACAUAGGUUUCAUGCUUUGGAUAAUUUUUCGUUGCAUGUAUAACUAGAGAAAACUUAGAUCCAAAGCAUUAGGGUUAUAUGUGCACCAUAGGAGUGUUAUAGUACAUAUAACCCAACAGUGGUAUCAGAGUCGUGGGUAGUUUUAUGUUAUAUGGAUGCAUUGUUUAAUUGUUCAAAGUUGAAAAACCUAAAAAAUUGUUGUUUGACUGCUGGAAUUGAUGAGUCCCAUGAGUGGACUCGACGAGUUGGCUCACAUGAACAUGAACUCGACGAGUCCAUAGCCUGGCUCGACAAGUUGGAUCAUUAGAUGGCAGUUUUUUCAAAUUUUUUUGUCUGUUUUGGAUUAGGAUCAUUACCAAAAAAGUUUUGGCCAUAAAAUUUUACUGAUAUGGUAAUGAUUGUCCCCAUCCAAUAACAUGAUGAUUGUCAAAUUCUAAGAUAAUUACUUGAUUUUGUGAAAAACUAAUUAUUUGUAGAAUUUGAAAUUAUCUUGCCAUAUUAAUUUAAUUAGUUCAAACUAGUAAAUGAUAAAAAUUAUAUGAUUAUUUAAUUAGUUUAAAAUUUGAACUAAAUGGAUUGAAGAGUUUCAUAACUUGACCUCAAGUUAUGGAACUUAAAAAGUCUCUUUUUAUGAAUAAAGAGAGUUAUAUAAACUUGUCAUCAAGUUUUGGAACUCAAAAGUUUUUUAAGGAGUUACAAAACUUGCCAUCAAGUAUGGAAUUCAAUAGUUUUUGAAUUAAGUUUUGGAAGUUGGAAAGUUUAAUUAAAAGGUUUUAAUUUGAAAUAUUGACUUCUAAAACAUCUAGUAAUUGAAAGGUUUUAAAAAGGUUCAUAACUUAAAAAAAUAAUUAAAUAGUUUUUAACUUUGAAUUUUUAUAACCUUGAUGCUUUGAAUGGUUCAAUUACACAUUAUGGACUUUAUUAAAUUGAUUAAAGUUUUAAUUAAAAGAGAAUUAAUAAAUCCAUAAUCAUAUGGUUUAAUGUUAACUAAAUUAAAAGUUUAAUUUAUUAAUAGAUUAAACCACCUAGUAUUUUAAAAGUGUAAAAUGCACUCUUAUACUAUAUAAAAUUAAAAGUUUAGUAUAUUAUAUUUGUAUAAGUAAAAAAGUUAGUCUUAUCGUUAGUAGGCCCCAUUCACGAAGCUGGUCUAUAAGGGGUGUUUAAGGCAGCGACUUGUAAAAUGACCGCCAUUAGGUAUCCAUUCUUACCCACCGCACCCUUGACCAGUGGAGGGUUGUUAGCCGAACAGGUAGGGUAGGACCCAACUUCCAUUAAAAGUAUAAUGAAAUACCAAGUAACUAAAUACAUUUAUAAAUUCCCAAUCUUAGUUACUUAGGAAAAUAUGUGAAUUUGAUGCUAACCCAUGAAAUUGCACAUUGCACCUUAUUAGUCGUUAGUGGAGCGUGUGUGGUUAACUGACACACUAAUAUGAGACUAAUGAAGGAUGGCAGUGGGUAGCUCGUAGUUUGUCAUAAAUCAAUGGAGCGUGUGUGGUUAACCAACACAUUGAUUAAUUGAUAAAUGACUUCGAGAGUGCCAAGCUAAUUUGCAUGGUUAUUUACAUCUUGUUUGUGAUCCUCGGCAUCCCAGUCACAAACUUGACGGGCAUAAUCGAGAUUAAACAUGCCAGUGAAAAAGUUCAAUGAAUCUCAAAGAAUGUAGGAAUUUCAAUUCAUUUAAAACCUAAUGCUCUUUUUCAUUUUUCAUGGUGGAAAUUGGUAAAUCGUCAUUUACCUACCUUCAAAUAUUUAACAAUUGGAUUACGACAUCCCUCUUCCGAAUUGUAGAAUACUGUGUUUGGUCCUAUUCUUAAUAUUUCAUUUUGGGUGUUAUAUUAAGGACUUAAAUCAACUAACUUUAAUUUCUCCCCUUAUAGAUGUCUAGGUCUAACAACUAUGGUCUGCCUUAUCCUAUUAGAAAAAGCUUUCAACAUGAAGAUGAUAUUCCACAAUAUCAUACAUCACUUCCUUGACCUCCUCCAAUAAUUCUCCCUGACCCACAUGUUCAUCGACUUGAAAAAUUCAAGGUCACUCAAAACCUAUUGGCAAACGAACACGAAGAUGGAAAGUAUGUAUGUGCUCACGUAUUGGAGAAGAAGUUGCAUAUUGGCAGGCUGGGAAUGUUGGGUGUCGUUUUCCUGAGAAAGUUGGCUGUUAAAUUGGUUCUUUAGUCUCUUCCCGACUCGUAUGUUCAGUUUGUUAAAGACUACUAUAUGACAGAUCGCGACGUGACCCUUAUUUAUCUUACCUAUUUACUAAUUGCUACACCGGUAAAGCAAAUUUGAUUGGAAGAUCUACUUCUUAAACUUCCAUGGACAUUGACAAUGGAAACAUUGGAAGUCAAGAAAAGAUUUCUCUUCCCAAUGAAAAGUCCAAGGUUAAAACGUUUGACCAAAUGGUAAAGAGAAAGGCUAAGUAUGUGAUUGUCCUGUGUGCCAUUCCAAAAGAAUCUGUUUGCUUCUAUUGCCAAGAGAAGGGGCUUUGGAUGUGAAGCUGCCAUAUUUACCUGAAAAACCACAAGGAUGGUAAAGUCAAAGUGUUUGACUCUGCUUCAGCUAAGUACACUAUCUAACUCUAUUAAGUUCCUAUUUCUAGAUUCUUCAUACAUGAUGUGAUAACAUUACAUUUUGAUGUUUUGAAGGAUCGAAGAAGAGAAAGGAAGUGUUAAGAAAGAGCAGGCCGAGUCUGAUCGCGAAGAGAUAGAUUUUGAUUGCAUGAUUCAAUGAUCAGAACCAUGAGCUGCUACUUAAGAGUUAUGAUAGAUUGCUUAGAAAUAUGUAACAACAUAGUUUUCAUAUGUAUUUUCAUUGUAAGGACAAGUUUUCCGCAUUUUAUAAAUAAAAAUAAUUUGAUUUUAUCUUAUUUAAUAUUUCCUUGCAAUGACAUUUGUGAAAAUUGAUGUUUGUAUGUUUCUAUUUUUCGCAAUAUGGAUUUGAUUCUUUCAUUUGUGGUAGUGUCAAAAUUUACCAAAUAAGGAAAGAUUUUCAUCACCAAAGUUUCAAUUGGACAAAAACUUUGAAUCAUGCAACUUGUAUUUUAUGAUGAAUGAGAACCUUCAACUAUGGAAAAUUAAGACUAAUUCCUUAUUCACAUAUAGAUGUGAGUCAAGUGAAAGACUAGGGAAUCUAGUAUAAAUUGUUGUGUACUGGUCCAGGUCAACCACAAGGAACAAUAAGACUAUUCAUCAUGAUUUACUAAUGUUUGUAAAUAUGGUUAUACUUACAAGAUUAAGUGUAAUUCUGAAUUAUUGAAAAAGUUUCUCCAAUCUGAAAGGAAAGAAGAGUACUCUAGUAUCGUGUUUUAUGAUCAUCUUAAUGAUUAUGAAAACCAUAUCACAAUUGAUCCUCUAAGGACAUGUUAGUGCACUUGUAUGGCUAAGAAGAGGAAUCGUGAAUUGUUGAAAUGGUUAAAUAAAAAAGGUGAAUCAUACUUCGUUCCAAGAUCAAGUCUUAGAGUCGUACUCCAAGAUUGUACAUUUAGUGACGUAUCCUAAGUAGGUUUAUAACGCAUCAUGAAAUGUGGAGUAGAAAAGUUUUCUUAAUCAGGCACAUUUGUAAUUGGUAGUAGUGAUGUCAAGGAAUCCGCACUAACUCUUGAAUAUUUGUUUGUCAAGGAAUGUUUCCUGACAAGAGAAUCUUAUAUGUCAAGAGGUCAGUGGGAGUAUUAAAGACCUUGACAAUCUUCAAGAACAAAUCAAGAAAAAAAAACCUAUUGUUAAUCACUAGCACACGACUUGAGGUUUGUAACCUAUCGUGUUGAUAUAUUCUUGUUUUUUUUCCCAUUCCAGUUAAAGUUGACUAUGCAUGUGAGUUCUAUGAGUUCUCAAUUGCUUGCAUAAGGUAAAGCACCUUGAUCAGUGAAAGUUCAUUAAUCAGUAAAGGUGAGCUGCUUAACAACUUGGAAGACAUGGUAGGCCCUUGUGCUGCCAAGUGGCAAGAAAUUAAGAUUAAACAAGUUUAGUCCAUAUGAGGUUGAGUUUGUCAGAGACCUUAUCCUAUGAUAAUGGUUGGAAAUAACAAAUUCACAUGGAUAGGAACACAUACAUCAUAAAAUCUAAGUGACAUAAGGUUUCUCUCCGAAUUCAUAAAAAUGAUUGUGAUGAAACGCUUUCACUAAGUAGAUUUUAAGAAGAUACCAGUUGUGUUAGUUGCAUUCUCGAAUUCAAUUAUGAUUACAACAUCCCUCUUCAUAGUUCAAAUUGUGAGAAAUGGAAAAUAGUUUGAACAUUCAGAACUUAUUGAUGUAAGUUCUGAAAUAGUUUAGACACACAUAUGAUCUUUCUAAUAAAAGGUGUAUGAGCUUAGAUAAAGGCUUAUCGAAGCAUCUCGUAUCAGAAAUCUGAACUUUGGUAAGAAAAUCAAUAAAGUAUUGAUUUCUAGAAGUCCAACUGAUUUCUGGAUACAUGUCAAAGAUAGUGGGAGCAUAAGUGUUACGCUAGUAAGAAUAUAAUUAUCAUGAUAGUGGGAGCAUGAUUAUUAUGUCAAGUGUUGCAAGUUAGCAAUACUGGUUAUAGGAAACAAAGGUUAAGAAUUUGUAGAGUUGCAAAAAAUUUGAAAAGUUGUUUCGCUAUAGUAAGGGAGAGGAUACUUAUACUUUAUUUUGAAUCUAAAAGUUUAGAUUCAAGUAUUAAUCAAACUUAGUCAUGGAUAUAUGAAUACCAUGUUGAAAUAUUUCAACAUUGGAAAUUCUAUAUAUGGAAAUAUUAUAGCAAAGACUGGUCAUGUAUCAUGUCUUUAUGUAAGACAUUAUGAAUCAUGUUCGAUAUGCUUCGAGUAUAGGAUCGAUUGCAUAUGCUAUAAUAUUCAUCUAUUCUAAUUUUCCAAAUGCCUAGGGCAUGUAGAGGGAAAAGGGACCAUAAAUAGUUAUAACUGAAAGUUAUUAAACAACUAUUAAGGACAAUCCAAGGUUCGCUAAGGACCAUGAUUCUAUUUAUAAUGAAUUUUCAUAUGGCAUAUUUGGAAAUGUUUCCAUAAUGGGAGUUCGAUAUCAAGAAUCUAUGAGUAAGUUAGAAACUUUUAUGCUAGAAGGAUGUUCAAAUGAAUGUGAUUUGAAUAUAAGACUUCAUAUAUAUGGAAUUGUCUUGUAAUAGUUUCCAUUGGAAAGUUUUGUAAUUGGCAAAAUAUAUGUGACUUGUGUACAUAGUCGUUACAAAAGGAUCACUGCAUAUAAGCUUAAGAUCUAACAGAUUACAGUAAUUGGCAAGGACUUGGUAUUCUUACACUUGCGAUAAGGAUUUGGAAUUUUGAAAUGAGUGUCAUUAGAAAUUUUUACAAUUGAUCUAUUUCAUAAUGUAAGGACCAUAGGUAAACAUAGUGUGCAUGCUUGGAGCAUGGGAUGACUAUUGUUUUAAAUUCAAGUAUUAAGUUGAUCAAUCGAAACAUUAUACAAUGAAUAAUGUGUAAUCAAUAUUAUGAUUAAAUAAAAGGUGUUUUAUUUAUAUUCAAAAGUUUUGAGACCAUAUUGGAUUCGAUUAUUCUUGUGUUUUAUUUUCGCAUGCUUUGACUUCCCGAAUAAUAAGAUUAUUCAAACCAUCCACAGUCGAUCAUACUUUGGAAGUAGGUAUUAAGGCAAGACUGUCAUGAAUUCGUCUGUAGAUUGUCUAAGUGUUAAAUAUAGCACAAGUUUACUGCAUUAUUCAUGAGUACUCUUGUAAUCAGAUUUGAGUAUUGGAUUAAAUCCAUGCUUAUCUGAAUUACUUCAUGGAUUUUUUCAUGAGUGAUUCUGAGACGAUAAUAUCUUAUAUUCUUGAAACAAAUACAUAUGAGUUGUAGUUUGCAAGUCGGUUGCACAUUGAUGAUGGGUAAACGCACCAGUAACUUGGUGUUAUAAAACGUAUUGUUGUGUGUGAUUUGAUGAGUAAAUAAAGCAAGCAUAUGAGUCGAAGUUUAUCCGUUCCUUUUACCCUAAGAAGGAUAAAAGCGAUAUUUAUGGGCCCCUCGAUGAUUUAGUGAUGAAAAAUGUAGCACCUGGUUCCUGGUAUGUAAAAUUUAUCUAAAUGUUUUGCAUUUUUAGCCUUGGGCUCGGCGAGUUGUAGGCCCGACUCGCCGAGUAGAGACGGGAGAUGGAGCACGUUUAAGUUGGCGACUCGGCGAGUCCCCGCUGUCUGAUGAAACCCUAAUUUCAAGGGUUUGGACCCUAUUAAAGUCAUCUUAUGCGCCCCCAAGCUCGCCCCCUUCACCCUCAAAGCUCCCUUUAUCGUCCAACCCUUGUUCCUUGUGAGAUUGAAGUGCUUUGGUGUGUUUUCUUGAAGAUUUUGAGAGAAAAGGAGAGUAGAUCAAGAAGAGAAGAAGGAGGCCAGACAUCUUGGUGUUAUUUCAGUGAUUUCUUUGAGGUAUAACUCAGUUUCACUUUGUUUUCAUGCUUAUAGUCCCUUAUAGCUCCAUUAAAGUCCUUCUUGAGCCAUUUCCAAGAUUGAUUAUGAAUUAAGGUUGGUAAUAAGUUGAUUAACCUUUAGAUCUAAGCAUGAUUGAGCUCCAGGAGCUCGGAUCUACUGCCUUUAUGGAGCCAUAUUGCAUGAAAGACCUAGAUCUACUCUUUUAGUGCAUUUUGAGCCCUAAAACCUUCAUUGGUGUUUAUUUACACGUAAAGUUGGAAACUUUACGUGUUAAUCAAGCCCUAGAAACCCAUAUCUAGGUAUGGCAUGAGCUGGAUUUAAGCAAAAUCAAGUAUAUAGUUUUUGCAUGUGAUAGACUCGGCGAGUCGAGUUGCGAGUCCCCGAGUUUUCCCCCUUUUCAUGUUUGCGGAGUGGAGUAGUAAGUCACGGGGUGUGACUCAGUGAGUCAGAAGCUAGACUCACCCAUGAAGGAACUCGGCGAGUCAAUGCCCUGACUCAGCAAGUCCAAGGCAAUCUUCUUGCCUCAAGAACAGACUCGGCGAGUUGUUCAUACAACUCGGCGAGUCUCAGCAUAGAAUGUUCUUCGGAUGAAGAUGAACUCGACGAUUUGUUCAUACAACUCGGCGAGUAGGAUGAAGGACUAUUGGACAUCGGUUAGAAGAAAACUCGUCGAGUCAAUGCCUAACUCGACGAGUAGAGUUGGCAAGCCAACUCGGCGAGUCGGGUCAACUGGAAGUUGACUUUGACUUUGACUCUUGGCUUGGUUAGGGGUAAAUGGUCAUUUUACCCUGAGGUCGGCUAGCAGUAUUUGACUGAGUGUUUUGUGGGAAUUAUAGCCGGAGGAUUUUCGGGGCAGCAGCAGUAGAAGACAGUCAGUUCCCAUGCAGAUCAGCAGCUACUUUGAGGUGAGUUACCUUCCAGUAGCGGUCGGUCUACGGCCACAAUGCCGGCCCACCAGUAGGAAUUGUAUGAUAGAAGUUUGACUCUGUGAUAUUCAUCUAGGGUUGCUACUACCUGUGAUAUGUUAUUGUGCUAGUAUGAUAUGAUGCUAUGUGCUAGUGACAGUAGGGGAGAUAGUCCUCCAGAUUACCGGUCGAUAGGGCCGAAGGGGCGGUCAUGCCCAGCCAUGCUAGAUAAAUUAUGUGAUAUAUGUGUUAUGUGGUAGUAUUAGGGGGUGAAAUAGUCCCCAGUACCCGGUCGAGAUGACCGAAGGGGAGACCAGCACCCAGAUAUGCUAGUUAGUAUCCGGUCAAGAGGACCGAAGGGGAGGCCAGCUCCCAGAUAUACUAGUCAGUAUCCGGUCGAGAGGACCGAAGGGGUAGGUCGGGCACCCAGAUAUGCGUGACAAUAUAUGUAUGUUAUGUGAUUGUAUGGUAUGUGGUAUGUUGGGGGAACUCACUAAGCUUCGUGCUUACGGUUUACAGUUCUGGUUUCAGGUACCUCUUCUUCGAAGGGGAAGGAGCUGGCGCGGUAGCGGCACAUCACAUACAUGCUUUGUAUUCCGCACUAUGAGAUCUUCCUGGGGAUUUGUACUCUGACAUUGUUAUGUUUUAUAAAACGUUUUCCAAACACGCAACAUCUUUUAUGAAAUGAUAUGAUCGGUAAAUUUUUUACUCCUAAUGUUUUGCAAAGUAUAUGUUUAAAAAUGGAUUUUUUUGGCUCGUAUUUUGGGAUGUUACAAAAACCCUAAGCGCUUGGCCAAGCCUGGACUGAUUUGAUUUAUUCAAUUAGUUGGUCGUCAUAACUCGAAAAUUGGGAAACAACACAUGGACAUAGAGACUGAUUAUAAUCCAUGCCUCAUGUCCAUACGAUAUCUAGAAUGGAGGAACAUAUGAUCCCUUAUCUUAUGGAUGCGUCAUUGAAUAGGUUAGAGAUCGACAACGAAUUUUGAGAGCUACAAUUGCUAGUCGGUUUUUGAAGUUGUACUUGCAGUUAUAGUUAUUAGACUUAUCCAAGUGGGAGAAUGUUGGAUUAGGUGUCUAAGCCCAUAACUAUAAUUGGUAUGUACUUGACCCGAGAGUAACAUGGCCCAUUUUGGGUUGCCUUCACCAAAACAAGUUGACAAGAUGGGUAUUUGAGAAAGAUGUUAUUUGUGAUUUAUUAAUGUAUUAUAAGAAUAAUAUAUUAAUUGAGAAAUGAGAAAUCAUAUUAUUUAAUUAGUAUUGAUCAAGAAUUAAUUUAGUGAUCAGAAUAGACUAAUUAAACUAAUGGGGACUGAUUAUGUAAAUCAAUGAUACAUAUGGAUUGGUCUAUUGAUCCAUGAUGGAAUAAGUUUAUAUGAGAGUCCAUGAAGAGUUAGUCUAUAUGAGUUACGGGAUCAUAAGCCUAAGUGUAAGAAUUAGGGUUUGCAUAUGACUCUUGGAAUUCUACACUAUAUAUGUAUUCCCUAAACCCUAAAAUCAUUACUAGUGUAUUCCAUGAUGAUUAUAACUGAUUUUUGUGUGCUUAACCUCUCUCAUUAUCUUCCACUUGUUCAUGGUGUUUGUGACUUGUUUGAGGCAUCACACAUGAGGUGCUAAGCUCUUAUAAUGCCAACAAAUACAAGCUACAAAUAAGAAGUAUUCAUCUAACUAGUUUUAUGAUUCAUGUACCAAAUUUGUAUGCUAGAUAGGUUUCAUGCUUUGGAUAAUUUUUUGUUGCAUGUAUAACUAGAGAAAACUUAGAUCCAAAGAAUUAGGGUUGUAUGUGCACCAUAUGAGUGUUAUAGUACAUAAAACCCAACAACUACUACGUUACAUCUAGUGAUGAAUUCAGUAGAUAUGAUUAUGUUUAUCUAAUUAAACAUAAGUAAAAAACCUUUAAAAAGUUCAAAGAGUUUUAGAACGAAGUAGAGAAUCAAGUGGACAGGAAGAUAAAGGAUCUUCCUGUCCAAGAUAAAGGAUCUUCGAUCGAUAGGGGAAAAGAAUAUCUUAGUAUUGAGUUUCACAAUAAUAUUAAAAAUUGUGGAAUAGUCUCACAAUUAGCUCCUACAAAAUACCUCAUCUAAAUGGUAUUUCUAAAAGGAUAAAUUGGACCUUAUUAGAUAUGGUUCGAUAUAUGAUGAGUCUUGAUUCUUUACCAAUUAAUUUUUGGGGCUAUGCAAAUGAGAUAAUUUCUCAUAUCCUAAACCCUGUACCAACUAAUAAGGUUUGAAAGACACCUCAUGAAACAUGGACACUAAAAGUUCCUCUUCUUAAUCACAUUAAGGUAUGGGGUUAUGAGGUUUUCGUUCAACGUGAUACCCAAGACACAAUUGAAUCUAGAUCUAAGAUAUCUCACUUUGUCUGUUAACCACAAAAGUAUUUUGGAUAUUUGUUUUAAAAACCCAAUGAAAAUGUGGUUUUUGUAUCUCUAAGAGGAGUAUUCCUUGAGGGAGAACUUAUAUAUCAAAAGGUUAGUGGGAGUCAAAUUGACCUUGAGGAAUUACAAGAUUUAACUGAAAGUGAGCCUAUAGUUGGCAAUAGCUGUCAACCAGAGGUUAAAAGACCUAUUGAACCAAAUGACAUAUCGUUACCUCUUCACAAAUUAGUAGAGUUAUACAAUGACUCAAGUUUUAUGGUUUACAUAUAACUAUGGAUGAGGACACACUGAUCAGUGAUAGAACACAUGUCAAUCUGGAUGAGUCGGCUAACUACAAGGAAGAAACAGUGGUCCUUGAGGCUGCAUAGUGGAAUAAGGCAAUGGAGAAAAAGAUUCAAUCCAUGAUAGAUAACCAAGUUUGGAAUUUGGUUGAUCUGACAUCUGGUCUUAAGAUAGUGGGUUGCAAAUGGAUCUUCAAAAGGAAAAUUACAUGGAUGGGAAUGUACACACAUUCAAGGCUAGGUUGGUGGACAAAGGUUAUACUCAAACUCAAGGAAUUGAUUAUGAGGAAAUGUUCUCACUAAUAGCCAAGAUAAAUUCUGUUCAGAUACUACUUGACAUAACUGCUUUUCCAUACAAUGAAAUUUCGCAAAUGGAUGUUAAAACAACAUUCCUUAACGGGAAACUUUCAUAGGAUAUGUACAUGACAAAAAUUGAAGGGUUUUAACAUGCCAAAUUCUCGAAUAGAGUGUGUAAGCUUGAGAAGUCAAUUUAUUGACUUAAGCAAGCAUCACGAAGCUAGAAUCUAUGCUUACACAUGAAAGUCAAAGUGUAUGACUUUACAUGAGAUGGAAAACGUAAAAGCUUGGCUUGGGAAGGUUUUUUUUCUAUGAAAGACUAAGGAGAAGUGGAAUACAUACUUGGUAUAAAGUUUUACGGGGACAGGAUGAAGCGUUUAAUUGGACUUAGUCAAAUUACAUAUGUGGAAAAGGUAUUUAAAAGGUUUAGUAUGGAAAUUCCAAGAAAGGAGAUAUUCUUAUGCAUCAUAGUGUGAAAUUGAAUUCUAGUAGUGAACUAGAAAGAAUUAGUUGAGUCUCGUAUGCUUCAUCUAUAGGAUCAAUCAUGUAUGCUAUGGGAUGUACUCGUCUUAAUGUGACAUAUGCUCUAAACAUGGUAAGUUGAUAUCAAGGAAAAUCGGGACUUAGUCGUUGGACGGCUGUCAAGAUCAUUCUUAAGUAUUUAAGAAAUACGAAAGACAUAUUGCUUGUAUACGAUAGAGAACUUGAUCUUAUACUGAAAAGGUACAGUGAUGCUACUUUCCAAUCAGAUAGGGAUGAUUCAAAGUCAUGGUAUAGAUGGGUAUUUAUUAUGAAUGGUGGUGUAGUAACUUAGAAAAGUUAUGAAUAGGAGACAGUGGCAGAUUUUAUCUACGAUUAUAAAUACAUUGCUCCAAGUGAAGCCUCCAAGGAAGUAGUUUAGAUCAAAAACUUAUUGGGAGACCUUGGAGUCAUUCCAAGUAACAAAGAUUCAUUCCAAAUGCUCUAUGAUAACGAAGGUGCAAGCGCUAUGACUAAAGAACCUAGGGAUCACAAAAGGUCACAACAUAUAAUGAGGAAGUUCCACUAUAUUUAAGAAAAAGUUGAGGAUGAAGAUCUAGUUGUGAAGCGUGUAUCAUCAUAGGAGAACCCAAGUGGUAUGUUCACAAAAUGGAUGACCAAAGAUAGACAUAUGUGUUGGAAUAAUGUCUAAGGUUGCAAUUAUAUUAGGCAAGUAUUUGACCCGGUUGUGCAUGGUCCUUUUGGGUUGCCUUCACCAUAGCAACUUGAUAGGAUGAUUUAUUAAGAGAGAGUAAAUAUUAUUAGUAUAUUAUGAGAAUAAUAUAAUGAAUAAUAAUAUUGUUAUUUGAUUAAUAUAAGUCAUAGAAUUAAUUGGAAUUAAUUUGGUGACUUAAAGAGAUUAAUUAAAUAAGAGGGUAUAAACUGUCAAUUGUUUGAUAGUUAAACUUUAGACUGUAAAUCCAUAUAGAUAUGGAUUGGGCGGAUUCUAGGAGCUAAAUGAUAGCUCAAAUCAUCCAAGAGUUAUCUAAGGAAUGGAUUUGGAUAGCCUUAAGAGAAGAUUAUCCAAUUAGGGUUUAGGUUGUAACCCUUAAGGAGUCUACAAGUAUAAAUAGACCCCAUGGCUAAGGGAAAUCGGUACUUCACCUAAAGUAGAGAAGCCCUGGCCGAAUUCCUCCCCUCUCCUCUCUCCCAAAUCAUCCUCCUUGAUAUUUGGUGUUUGUAAGCCAUUAGAGGAGUGACAAUUGUGACUCUAGAAGCUCCAAGACAACAAGAUCAACAAGGAAUUCAAAGGUAUGAUUCUAGAUCUGUUUCAAUAUUGUUAUUACACCUAAAUAGUCAUUAGAAGUCUUGGAUUCAAAGCAUGUUUAAUUAGAAAGCCUAGAUCCAAGCAUUAGGGUUUUGCAUGCGCACAUAGGAAAGUUCUUAUGGCUAAAACCCAUCAGUGGUAUCAGAGCCUAGCUUGGUUUUCAUUAAAUUGUUGCUUAAUUGUCUGAAACUAAACUGCAAAAAUCGAUUUUUGUGUUUCUGAGUCAUGGACUUGGCGAGUUACAAAGUGGACUCGGCGAGUUGGCCUGACUCGGCGAGUACCUUUGUGCACUCGGCGAGUCCAAGCGUCAGGAAUAGCCAGAUUCGGGAUUUCUUCAUGAUUAUCUUAUGGAAACUUACCUUAAUCAUAUUAGAUCAACCCUAAUCCGAUUUUUUGAUAUAUAUGACUAUAAUCUUGAUCUAAUUAAAGAUAUUUAUCAACUAAUAAAAUAUUUAAUUUCCUUAUAUGAUAAUUAAUUAAUUAUUUUGAUUAUUUUGGUAAUUAUCUUUAAAAGAAAUCUUGAAUAAAUCAAAUAUAGAUAAUUAGGAUAUUAAUUGUUAAUUGGAAUUAUUUGUUAUUUGAUCCUCCAUGUUUUAAAUGUUUAAAACCUACCCUCAUGUUUUGAAAUUUACUUUUGUGAUUAAAAGUUUUAAUUUAGACAACUUAAAUUUCAAACCCUAGAUUUUAAAAGUUUUAAAAUACAACCCUAUACUAAUAUGAUAUUACUAGAAUAAUAUAUAUAUGUAUAACUAAAUGCUAGUCUUACCGUUAGUAGGCCUCAUUCACGAAGCCGAUCUAUAAGGUGGGUAUAAGGUUGCGGCCUAUAAAAUGGCGCUUAAUGGGUGUACACUCACACCCACCGCUUGCUUGAUUGGUGGAGGGUCGUUAGCCGAACGGGUAGGAUAGGGCAACCUCAUCCUCUCAUUAAAAGUAUAAUAAGAAAUAUAAAGUAACUACACAUUUUUUUAAAAUUUCCCAAUCCUAGUUACUUUAGGAAAAGUGAAUUGAUGCAAUCCCAUGAAAUUACACUUUGCACCUUGCUAAGAUGUUAGUGGAGCGUGUGUGGUUUACCGGCACACUAAUUGGUUCUAAGCGAAGGUGGCAAAGGGUGAUUCAUUGUUUAUCAUAGUUCGAUGGAGCGUGUGUGGUUUACCGGCACAUCGAAUAGGUGAUUGUUACAAUGAAGGCACCAUGUGAAUUUGCAUGGUAAUUCACACCCGCUUUGUGAUCCUCGGCAUCCCAGUCACAAACAAGAGGGGCAUAUCGAGAUUUAAACAUGCCAUUGAAUAGUUUCAAUGAAUCUCAUCCGAACCUAGGAAUUCUCAAAAACACUUAGGACUAAUAGUUUAAGUUUUGUGAUGGAGAAUUAGUGAAUCGUCAUUCACUUACCUUCAAUUUAUUUGCAUGUUAGAUUACGGCAUCCCUUUUCUAGUAUGUAAAUGUUAUUGUUGGAUCCUAGCCCUAAUUUUCUUAUUGGGUGAUAAUUAGGGAUUCUUAUUCUAAUCUAUCUUUGUCCUUUUCUAAUUGUAGAUGUCGAACGCAAACAACGCUGCUGCUAGUUCUUUCACGUUGAUGAGCCUUUGCCAAAAGGUCACCUUCGAUGGAACGAACUUUAGCGAAUGGAUAAGAUACAUUCGCACCAUUGCUCGCUAUGAGGAUAAGGAGUAUGUCCUCGAUGAGAAGCUCGAGAAAAUCAACCCCGAAAUUGCUACUCCCGCCGAAAUCACCGCCUUUGAAACUCAUGAGCGAGAUGCAACGAAGGUACAUUGCAUCAUGAUCGCCACCAUGAACUCCGAAUUCCAAAAGUCCUACGAGGACAUGUACCCGUACGAGAUGCAUCAAGACUUAUUGGAGAGGUACCACCAAAACGCGAGACAAGAGAGGUACGAGAUUUUCACUAACAUGAUUUCCGCGAAGAUGGGUCAUGGAGAAUCUCUUACCGUGCACUUGCAAAAGAUGCAAAGGUAUGUUGACCGCCUCCGCAAGUUAAAUGUUGACUUCGGUGAAGACUUGGCGAUCGACAUGGUGCUUCACUCUUUGCCUCCGAUGUACAACCAAUUUAGGAUGACCUACCACAUGAACAAAGAAGAGGUCACCCUAAGCAAGCUCCAAGGUCUCUUGAGGGUUGCUGAGAGCAACUUCAAAGACAAGUCUGUUGCACCUACUCCCAAUCCGCCCGCUGCUCCUGUCUUGGCUAUUGGACAAGGGAAGGGAAAGAAGAGGAAAGCUUCAUCGAAGAACUAUCGCAAGGUGAAAGCCCGAGAUGGUGCCUCUUCUAGUGGGACCAAAGUUGAUCCCGCCAAGCCCUGCUCUAACCCGAAGGAGGCAGAGUGCCACCACUGCCACAAGAUAGGACAUUGGAAGAGAAGCUGCCCGGAUUACCUGCAAGCAAUCAAAGAAGGAAAGAUCAAGCCAUCUUUCGCAGGUAUAUAUACAAUCAAAUCUAACGAUUCUAAUCAUGCUAUUUCUUGGGUUCUUGAUACCGGUUGUGGUUAUCACAUUUGUUCUAAUGUGCAGGGACUAAGAAGAAGUAGGGAUGUGGAGCAAGGAAGGAUCAAUCUAAUCAUGGGGAACAGAAGAUCGUCGCCUGUGACCAAGAUUGGAGUGUAUUCCUUAGUGCUUAGGAAUAGUUUAGUUUUAGAUUUGAACAAUUGUUGCUAUUCGCCAGAAAUGGCAAGAAACAUCAUUUCAUUUCAUGGUUUAUAUAGACAAGGAUUUAGAUUUUCUUUUAAUAAUGAGAAUGGUUCUAUUUUGGCUUAUCUAAAUGGUGUCUUUUACUUUGAAGCUAUACCAUGUAAUGGAAUAUAUGAAACCGUUAUGAUUGUUGAUAACUUAGGAAAUGAUGUUUUGAAUAUUGAUUCUUCCACUAGUAUGGAUAAAGCAUCCUUGUGGCAUUGUCGUCUUGGACAUGUCAACAAGAAACGCAUAGCCCAACUCCAAAAGGAUGGAGUGUUGGAGUCAUUCGACCUUAGGGAAGAUGACACAUGCGAGUCUUGUUUGCUUGGAAAGAUGACUAAGUCACCCUUCACGAGUACAUGUGAAAGGGGCGAGGGUCUAUUGGACCUAAUACAUACCGAUGUAUGUGGACCGUUUAGAUCAACCACGAAGGAUGGGAACCGCUUCUAUGUGACUUUUACCGAUGACUAUAGUAGAUAUGGGUAUAUCUACUUAAUCAAGCAAAAGUCAGAAACCUUUGAAAAGUUCAAAGAGUUCAAGAAUGAAGUGGAGAAUCAAUUGGGCAGGAAAAUCAAGAUGCUUCGAUCCGAUCGAGGAGGAGAGUACCUAAGUCUUGAAUUCCACGAUUAUCUCAAGGAGUGUGGAAUAGUUUCGCAAUUGACGCCUCCUAGGACACCGCAGUUGAAUGGUGUGGCAGAAAGGCGUAAUCGAACCUUAUUGGAUAUGGUUCGCUCUAUGAUGAGUCGUGCUUCACUACCUAUCUCUUUUUGGGGGUAUGCCUUAGAGACUGCCGCCCAUAUCCUUAACCGAGUCCCUACUAAGAAGGUUGCCAAAACACCUCACGAGAUGUGGACAGGGAAAGCUCCCUCGUUGGCACAUAUCAAGGUUUGGGGUUGCGAGGCUUUCGUAAGACGAGAUACUCACGACAAGCUUGAACCUCGAAGUGAGCGAUGUAUUUUCAUCGGCUACCCGCAGACAUCCUUUGGAUAUCUCUUCUAUAGACCGAAGGACAAUGUUGUCUUCGUUGCGAGGAGAGGAGUUUUCCGAGAGCGAGAACUCAUAAGCCAAGGAGACAGUGGGAGGCAAAUCGAGCUUGAAGAGAUUCAAGAGUCGAUAGAUGAAGGAACCUCUACCGCUGGCACUCAACCCGAGGAGGAAACUCCGGUUGAACCGAUUGACGAAUCCUUACCUCUUAGACGUUCCGAUAGAGUUAGAGUUCAACCCCAGUUUUAUGGUUUUCAUAUUACUACCGAAGGGGACACGUAUAUUAGUGAUGGUACACUAAUAAAUCUUGAUGAACCUAAUAGCUAUAAGGAAGCCAUGGCAGGCCCGGAGUCUGCAAAAUGGAAAGAGGCAAUGGAUAGCGAGAUCCAAUCCAUGUAUGAUAACCAAGUUUGGAAUUUGGUUGAUUAUGUGCCCGGACGUAAGACCGUUGGGUGCAAAUGGAUCUUCAAGAAGAAGACCGACGUGGAUGGAAACGUACACACAUAUAAAGCGCGAUUGGUUGCGAAGGGCUUUACUCAAACUCCCGGAGUUGACUAUGAUGAGACCUUCUCACCAGUUGCGAAGAUUAAAUCUAUUAGAGUGAUGCUAGCAAUUGCCGCAUUUCAUGAUUAUGAGAUUUGGCAAAUGGAUGUCAAGACCGCUUUCCUUAACGGAAAGUUGGCUGAGGAUGUUUACAUGGCUCAGCCAGAGGGGUUUGUGGAUCCGAAGCAUCCGAAUAGAGUGUGUAAGCUUGAGAAGUCCAUUUAUGGACUUAAGCAAGCGUCUCGCAGAUGGAAUCUUUGCUUCGAUGAGAAAGUCAAAGAGUUUGGAUUUGUACGAAGCGAAGACGAAUCUUGUGUAUAUGUCAAAGCCAGUGGGAGUAUAGUAAGCUUCCUCGUUCUAUAUGUCGAUGACAUAUUACUCAUAGGAAACGACAUCCCGACUCUGCAGGAGGUUAAGUCCUGGCUCGGGAAGUGCUUCGCUAUGAAGGACCUCGGAGAGGCUUCUUACAUUUUGGGAAUAAGGAUAGUAAGAGAAAGAAGUAAGAGACUAAUUGGACUUAGUCAGAAUACUUACUUAGAGAAGGUACUAAAACGUUUUAGUAUGGAAAACUCAAAGAAGGGAGAACUACCGAUACAAAGUAAUGCCAAAUUGAGUAAGACUCAAAGUCCGAGUACCGAAGCUGAGAUAGCAGAAAUGAGCCGAGUACCAUACGCUUCCGCAGUUGGCUCAAUCAUGUACGCUAUGACUUGUACUCGCCCUGAUGUAGCCUUCGCUUUGAGCAUGGUUAGCAGAUAUCAAGGGAAUCCUGGCAGAGCACAUUGGAUUGCGGUGAAGAAUAUCCUUAAGUACCUUCGGAGGACGAAGGAAUGGUUCUUAGUCCUCGGAGGGAGUGAUGACUUGAAGGUGCGAGGGUAUAGUGACGCCAGUUUUCAGACCGACAGGGACAACUACCGUUCGCAGUCGGGCUGGGUCUUUACCCUAAAUGGAGGAGCAGUGACAUGGAAGAGUUCCAAGCAGGAAACCGUAGCUGAUUCAACGUGCGAAUCAGAGUACAUUGCAGCGAGCGAAGCGUCGAAGGAGGCAAUAUGGCUAAAGAACUUCAUCGGUGAUCUUGGAGUUGUACCUGCCAUAAAGGAGCCCAUGGAGAUUUUCUGUGAUAACGAAGGAGCGGUUGCCUUGACCAAGGAACCGAGGGAUCAUGGUAGAUCAAGACAUAUCGACAGAAAAUAUCACUUCAUUAGACAUCGUGUAGAAGAAGGACAACUCGUAGUGAAGAGGAUAUCAUCAGAAGAUAACCCAGCAGAUCCGCUUACGAAGGGACUGAGUAGGGUUAAGCACUUGCAGCAUGCUAGGAGUAUUGGGCUGAAGGAUGAUAUUAGCAUAGAUUAGAUAGUAUUAGAAACGUGUAAUAGAUAAAUGUAAUUAACAUUUGAUGAUUAAAUAAAGGAGUUUUAUUUAUGAGUAAUGUUACUAUCUUAUGUUAAUUGUUUAACUAUUGUUUCACUUUGCAUGUUUUGACUUCCAGAAUAAUUGAGUUUAUUAGGAAUAAUCGAAUUGUUCAAAUUGUCCACAAUCGUUCAUAUGUUGGAAGUAGAUAUGAAUGAAGAUUGUCAUGAAUUGGUGUGUAGAUUGUCUAAAUGGUGUUAGACAUAGCAAAGGGUUGCUGCAACGUUCAUGAGUGCUUAUGAACUAGUUUUGAGCAUUGGAACAAACCCGCGCUUGCUGGAAUCACCUUAUGGAAUAUGAUAUAAAAGGGUGAUCGCAAGACGAUAAUAUCAUAUAGUCUUAAAACCUAGAUAUAUGGUUUGUUAUUUGUUAAUUGAUUGUACAUUGAUAAUGCGAAAACGCAUCAGUAACUCGGUGUUAUAAAACGCAUUGUUGUGUAUAGUUGGUUAAUGAAUAAGUAAAUGCAUAUAAGUCGAAGUUUAUCUGUAACUUUUAUCUAAGAAGGUAAAAGCGAUAUCUCGGCCGCUCGAUGAUUUGAUUUGACUUAUGUGCCGGGCCCGGUCAGAACUGAAUUGAUGUGUUCGAUUAAGUUCUAUGUCAAAUAAAUCAGAGAUCGAGAAACCUAAAUGCUUGACUAACCAUUCCAUAGGAUUGUCAGCAUGAUAUCUAACAGAGGACUGUACGAUCCCUUAUCUAAAGGACAAGAUUGAUUAGAUCAGAGUUUGACAGCGUCUUUGAGAGCUACGAUUGCAAACCGAAUUGUACUUGUGCAUAUAGUUACUAGACUUAUCCAAGUGGGAGACUGUUGGAAUAGUGUCUAAGGCUGCAACUAUAUUAGGCAAGUAUUUGACCCGGUUGUGCAUGGUCCUUUUGGGUUGCCUUCACCAUAGCAACUUGAUAGGAUGAUUUAUUAAGAGAGAGUAAAUAUUAUUAGUAUAUUAUGAGAAUAAUAUAAAGAAAAUUAUAUUGUUAUUUGAUUAAUAUAAGUCAUAGAAUUAAUUGGAAUUAAUUUGGUGACUUAAAGAGAUUAAUUAAAUAAGAGGGUAUAAACUGUCAAUUGUUUGAUAGUUAAACUUUAGACUGUAAAUCCAUAUAGAUAUGGAUUGGGCGGAUUCUAGGAGCUAAAGGAUAGCUCAAAUCGUCCAAGAGUUAUCUAAGGAAUGGAUUUGGAUAGCCUUAAGAGAAGAUUAUCCAAUUAGGGUUUAGGUUGUAACCCUUAAGGAGUCUACAAGUAUAAAUAGACCCCAUGGCUAAGGGAAAUCGGUACUUCACCUAAAGUAGAGAAGCCCUGGCCGAAUUCCUCCCCUAUCCUCUCUCCCAAAUCAUCCUCCUUGCUAUUUGGUGUUUGUAAGCCAUUAGAGGAGUGACAAUUGUGACUCUAGAAGCUCCAAGACAACAAGAUCAACAAGGAGUUCAAAGGUAUGAUUCUAGAUCUGUUUCAAUAUUGUUAUUACACCUAAAUAGUCAUUAGAAGUCUUGGAUUCAAAGCAUGUUUAAUUAGAAAGCCUAGAUCCAAGCAUUAGGGUUUUGCAUGCGCACAUAGGAAAGUUCUUAUGGCUAAAACCCAUCAAUAUGAUGCAUUCUAUAACGUAUGCAUGAGAGAUGAUGUAAAGUUUAGUAGUUAGUAGAUUAUUUGAAACAUUUAGAAUAAAGAAUAAAUUUUAUAUCACAAGUGAUUAUGAGAUUAUAAUAUCUUUUAUUCUUAAAAGGUGGAGACAUUUGAGUUCAUUGGAUAUAAUUUAAUUGUGUGUUAGUCUUUUUCUACUAAUAUUUGUAACCUAUGGCACUAAGGAGUAGGUCUAUGUAUGAUUUGACUCAUAGACAAAAACUAUGUAGUCAAAGUUUAUAUGUCCCCUUUUACCAAAAGUGAAAGGUGAUAUCAUGGGCCCCUCGGUGAUUUAAUAAUGAUGUUUAUGUGCUAAGCUUUUCCCGAACUUGAUUGAGGUAUUCAAUUAGUAGUCUGAUUUGGUCAUCAUAAAUCAAAAAUUGAGAAACAACUAAUGGUCUAUUAGGUUGAUUCAUAAUCUAUGACUUAAUCAACAAUGAUAUCUUGAAAGAAACAAAUGAAUAAUUGAUCACUUAUCUAAUGGCCAAUUCUUGAUAAGAUCAGAGUUCGACAGUUGUUGUGGAAGGUAUGCUUUGUUGGUUAUUCAAAGGUUAUCUGACCAAUAGUAAUUGAUGAAUUUUCCAAGUGGGAGACUGUUGGAAAUAGGUGUCCAUUAUCAUAACUAAUUGGUGUAACUUUGGGAAUAAUAGAAAAGUCCUUGUUGGGUUGCCCUCAAGAGAAAGAAUAGCUAGAAAUAAUUUUACGAGAUUGAGAUAAUGGUUUAUUAAUUUAUUACAUGAUUAAUAAAUUAAUUAGAAACAAGAUAAAAUUAAUUUAAAUUAAUUUGGAAUACAAGGACUGAAUGUUAGUUUUUCAAUAGUUGAACAAAGGGAAAAUUUUGGAACCCCAUAUGUGGUGGAUGGUUUUUGAGCCUCCCUGGAGUGUUCCAGAUUUAAUCCAAGUAACAAAUAAGAUAGUGAUGUGAAUUAGGAUUAAAUCUGAUUAUUUAAUUGACUCAAAUCAGGUUUAUCCUGUUACCACCACAACUAUGUAAAGGAGCUUUGGGGUGCUUAUAUUUUCAUCCAUCUCCUCCCUCCUAAAAGGCUUAGAAUUUCCUUUCUCACCUCUCUUUCUCUCUCUCUCUCACUCUCUCUCUCUUUUGUUUUUAGGGUUCUUGGUUUUGGGUGUGAACCAUUAGAGGUACUUUAAUUUAGGUACUAGACUUCCAAGAAGAAACAAAGAGCAUAGAGAAGUCAAUUCUACAAGGAAAUCAAAUUGUCUAAAGGUUAGUAUUCGAAUCCCUCUUCUUUUAGCUUCUUAAGCUAGUUUUAAAAGUACGUUGCUAUAAUAGUAAAACUUAGAUCCUAGGGUGCAUGUACACUUAGGAUAAUUUUUUAAUGAUUUCGUUGUCAUGAUCUAGUGUAUAGUCGCACAGAAAACCCAACAAAUGGUUUAAGAUAUUCUUUUGGACAUACUAUUUUGUUGGUAAGUGUAAAGGCAUGUGAAACGGAUUUGAAUAUGAAUGAUGUCAUAAAGGUGAUGGAAAUGAGUGUUGUUAAAUUCCUAAACACCAUCACAUUGAAAAGCAUGUUUGUCAAUAUGAAGUUGAGUUUUAAUGUAUGCUCCAAAAUGAAAACUAACAUUGAGAACACAUCACACUUCACACGAAUAGGAUAUACCUAAAAAAUGAGAGAAAACAUCAAGAUAAAUCACAUAACACAUUAUUCUACUAACAAUUUGCAAACAAGAAGUCCACACAUCAAAUUAAUAAUUUUAAAAGGAAAAUAUGUAACCAAAUUUGAUAAUGUUAAAGGUAAUCGAACAUGUUUACCCAAUUAAAACGUAUGGAAUAAAUUUGAUAAUUUUUUGUUCGUAUAAGAAAAUAAACUAUGAGAAAUUACAUGUUGAAAACUUGAUGCUUUGGGUGACUGAGAAGCUAGUGCCAUAUAGAAGGAGGCAUAAAGACAAAAGCUUGAGAGAUUCCAUUAGUGACUAGAUAGACAUCACCGAUGUUGUCACAUCAAAGGAGGGUUUGAAGGUUUUGGUAAUCAUUCACAAAAACCAAAAUUCAUCAAAUUCAAUUCUAUAUUUAUAAUCUCAAGUAAAAGGUUUAAUAGAGAUAAAAAAUUGAUUAUUUAAUUAGUUAUGAGAUAUGGAUUGGAUUUGGGUACGAUAGAGACACACAAACUACUUAUGGGUAUCUUUGAUCCGUCCCCAAUCAAUACAUAAGAAUAAAUACAAUUAGAGCUAGUGGAGUGAAGUAUACAUGCAUUUGAAUGAAGAUGAGAGGUGGAUCACGAGUCCAUAUACCACUUCGCAUUAACUGAAUCAUUUAUUGACAUCAUAUUAACAUUUGAGGUAUAAUUAUUUCUUAAUCUCGAGUAUAAAACACUAAAUGUAUGAACAAUGAAGGUUAGUCAACAAUAUGUGUCUUAUUAUGUUGCUAUCAAAAGUAAAGUAGUGGGAUUGAGGCAUAAAUAUGGCUUGCUAAAAGUUGUUGGACUACUCUAAAGUGGCUUGUGUUAUGCCAAAUUGGUUCGCUUAUGUUGAUUACGACGAUGAUGUCCAAUGGAUGCAAGAAGGUUCGGAAGCAACCCACUUGAUUGAGUGUUAGAAGAGCCACAGUUUGAUCCAUGACUAUAACCCUGACCGUCGUGAUUGGAUCUACCACCAUUUCUUCUAACACAAUAAUUACUACGAUUUUGUCUCGGAUAUGGUGAGUCGGUGACAAGAACAGCCAAAGAAGAUGAUUGAUCUAUAUAAGAUGCAUGGAUGUUACGUGUUUAAACUCGAUUCAUUUGUUUCUCUUUGAGGGGAAGAGUUGAACGAGUUUCUAAGAAUAUGGGAAGAGGAGAACAAUGACCGAUUAGAUAGGCUACAUAUUCAAAUUUUGGUGAAAAGUCAUUAAUCAUGUAAGUAACAAAUUCUUUCCCGAUAAUGUUAUCGAUGAGGUAAGCAAUCGUUUAAUUAUUGUGUAAUCAUCAAUAGCUAUGUUGUGGAGCUCGUUAUCAAACUGAAUUGUACUUUCAUGUUUGUUAUCUCUAAAGAGGGUUUCAAGAUCGGUCCAUACUUGUCUUGUAGUGUGUAACAUCCAAAUUUUGAAACCAAAUUUUUCAUUUUUAAUUUCAUACAAAAUGAUUUUUCAUAAAAACCAUAUCAAGAAAACCAUAAGGUCAAAUAUAAAUCAACAUCAAAAUAUCAGAGUGUCCCAAAAUAUCCAGUAACAUAAUCUUCAGGCGCAUGUGUACAAUCAAGCCUUCGCUUUCCUGUGAUCCUCGUAAGUACCUGAAACACAUUUAAUCAACAAAUGUAAGCACAAAGCUUAGUAAGUUCCCCAAAAUACCAUAUACAUCACAACACAAAAUAAGAAGCCAUGGGUUAUCAGCAACCCUGGAGACUACCCAAAGUCUCAGUGGGCAAACAACACGCCUAAUGGGUUAUCAGCAACCCUAGAAACUACUUGAAGUCUCAAAACAAAUAGUAACACAUAUCACGGUAAAUAGCAUAUAGACCCAGCUGGUCAUCACAUAAAUAAACACAAUUACCACACAUGUAAGAAUAGUGAGGAGACUCACCCACACAAAUGACUAAUAAAACUCACACCCGAACUAGACUCUAUGUAAUUAAAUACGACAAUUAACCUUAAUUAAAAUUAAGGAAUUUCCCACACAUACUACUAAGCCCAAUACAAUUCUAGUCCACACUUAGAGCAAAAUACCAUUUUACCCGUACAAUACCCCUCACAAUCCACCUAAGACACAAGUGGUCAAAGUCAAUGAAAGUCAACCUCUGACCAGUACGCUCGGCGUACUCAAAUCUACGCUAGGGGUAGAGAGCAAGGCAAAAGGAACAUGCUUGUAUCUGGUUACGCUGGGCAUAGCCAUACAUACAUUCAAUGUAUGCGGAUAGAUCUUAAAACCUCCUAUUUAACGUCUUAAUCAUUAAUACAUUCAUUCCAAACUCAGAUCUGGCCCCUAAAGAAUGUCCAAAACCAUAAAGUCUCUGACUUUAAGCCUUUACAUGGCUAAAGAGAGCUUAACCUUAAAAACCCUAACUUCAACAUCACCAAAAGCUCCAAAACACUUGCAUGAUGGGAAGGAGAAGGUCAAGCUAACAUUUUUAAGACUCAAAACAACCUAAGACCUCUGAAAGGACAGCUCAAAAGCCCUGGAGUACUCCAUACUCACAAGGAUCAAAGUCUUAGGACAAACAAUUCAUAAAUCCAUGAAAAAACAAGAUCUAACAACAUAAGUUCCAAUGUAAGAACUUUAUACCUUCAGAAGGUGGAUAAGGAGGUAUAGAUUUUGGAUCCAAAGUGUAGCGCCCGAAUUGCCAGGUAUGAAGUUUCUGACCUAGUCUAUUUUCAAUUCAAGUUAAGGUGGUCAAAGGAUGGUGAGUAUGUUGGGCGUACCUUAUGUACACAUGGAUUACUCGUUGUAUGCGCGCCAUCGGGGGAUCCUCAGCAUAGGUUGGGCACACCCAUGCGUACGUUGGGUGUAACCAAGCCAGGGGAAAACCCUUAAUUUUAGGAUUUGCACCCUCUUUAUGGACCUUAAGUCCCUUACUUUCUAGCCUUCAUUGAUCUUGUAGUGAAAAUCUCAAACCCUAAUCCACAUUGAGUGCAUUCGUGAGAUUUCUUGAGUGUUUGUGGUGUUCUUUAGUGAUUUUGAAGGAGAAGGAAGCUUGGGAAGAAGCAAGGGCGAGGAAGGAGCUUGUAGAUCCAGAAGUUUGGCACCAUAUCUAACCCAUUGAAUGUAUAAAUGAACCUUGAUCAUUACAAGCUUAGAUCUAGGUUUAGGGUAGAAAAUGGUAUUUUUUUAGUCCCACAGUUUGGAUUCCUGUAGUGUGAGCAACUUCAGACCAUAUGAGUUGUCCUUUUGGACAAUUGGAGGUGUUUUGAGUCAUAAAAAUCUUAUCUUGAUGGUUAAGCCUCAACCAUGCAUGUGUCACUAGUCAUCCAAGUGAGUAAAUGGACUUAAUUCAUGAUUUGAGCCCCAUCCUUGCAUGCAAAAGCAUAAAUUUUGCAACUUUAUGGCUUAAGACGUUAUUAUGGACUUGAAUCUAAGUUUUGGACGUAAGUAAUUAAUUGAUUAAGUCAUGGAAGUAUGUUUGGUUUGGCAGACCAGUACGCCAUGCGUACUCUAGUGUACGUUGCAUGUACUGGGUCAGCACCCCGACGUCGGGUCAAUACCAGCAUACGCUAGGCGUACAAGCCAAGUACGCCGCAUGUACACAAUCAGUGGGAUUAGAAUAUUUUGGGCCCGUUUGGUGUUGGGCUUUGAAAUUAUGUGAGUUAGGCCUCGGGCCCACUUGAUUGUAGCAUGCCAUUUUUGGGGCUUAGUCCAAGUUAGGUGUUCUUGGGUCAUAUUUGGCCUUAGAGGCCCUAUAGUUGGCUUGGAUGCCUUUUUGGGUUUUUUUAUGGAUUUGGGCCUUGGCGGAAAGGAGGACCAAUAAGGCAGAGGUAAAGGAGCCCUUUUGCCUUAAGUCAAGAAUUAGGGUUUUGGACUUUCGGGUUAGAAUGUAACCUAAUUUCUAAGUGGACUCUUGGAGGCGUUUUGAGUCAUAAAAAUCUUAUCUUGAAGGUUAAGCCUCAACCGUGCAAGUGCUAGUAGCCAUCCAAGUGAGUAAAUAGACUUAGUUCAUGAUUUGAGCCCCAUCCUUGCAUGCAAAAGCAUAAAGUUUGCAACAUUAUGGCUUAAGGCAUUAUUAGGGACUUGGGUCUAAGUUUUAAACGUUAGGGCUUAAUGGAUUAAGUCAUGGAAUUAUGUUUGGGUUGGUAGACUAGUACGUCGUGUGUGCUCCAACGUACGCUGUGCGUACUAGGUCAGCACCCCAAUUCUAGGUUAACACCAGCCUAAAUUGGGCGUACAAGCCAAGUAUGUCAUGCGUACGUGGUCAGUGGGCUUAGAAUAUUUCGGGCUCAUUUGGAGUUGGGCUUUGGAAUUUUGUGAGUUGGGUCUCGGGCCCACCUAAUUGUAGCAAGUCAUUUUUGGACCAUAGGCCAAGUUAGGUGUUCUUGGGCCAUAUUGGGCCUUAGAGGCCCUAUAGUGGGAUUGGAUGCCUUUUGUGUUUUUUUAUGGAUUUGGGCCUUGAAGGAAAAGAGUCCCAAUAAGGAAAAGGUAAAUGAGCCCUUUUGCCUUAAGUCAAGAAUUAGGGCUUUGGACUUUCGGGUUAGAAUUUGACCUAAUUUCUAAUUAGGGUUUUAUGCAUGUGCGUUAGGGAGAGGAGUGUGUGAGUUAUCCAAUGAGUAAGAUUUGAUACCCAUAGUUUGAGCAGUCUUCCUUCGCAGUAUCUGUGGGUCGAAGGCACCAAGGCCAGUCCACUAGUUUAUGAUGUAGUGUGAUGGUUAUCUUUGUGAGAAUUGUUAGUUAUGCAUGUAUUUGCUUAAUGAGUCUAUGAUUUCUAUUAUGAUAAUUUUGUGGUAGUAGUAGGGGUGAAAUAGACAUGGUAUCCGGUUGAAAUAGACCGAAGAGGAUUGCAAGCACCCAGAUAUGCUUGAUAGUAUCCGGUUGAAAUGCACCGAAAGGGUAGGAAAGUACGUAGAUAUUCUUGACAAUAUCCGAUUGAAAUAGACCAAGGGGCUAGGAAAGUACCCUAGAUAUGUUUGGAAGUAUGCUCGUUUAGUAUGUGGUAUUUUGGGGGAACUUACUAAGCUUUGUGCUUAUAGUUUUCAUUUUAUGUUUCAUGUACUUCCAAUUCGAAGGGGAAGGGCCCGACCUGAUCGCACCACAUCACUCCAUGUUUUUCCACACUUAGUGAUUUUGGGAAUUUGUACUCUGAUAACAUGUUACAAUUAUACUCUUUAGACUAUUUUGGUAUCAGUUUCUUAUGAAUUGAGUGGAUUUAAAAACAAAAAUUUUAUCUGUAUUUUUGGGAUGUUACAAGUUGGUAUCAGAGCCUUGGUUUGAGGGAUACUUGGAUACUCUCAGGUGUUCUUGGACUCAAAUCAAGGGUUUUGUAAGUUUUUUUAUAAAAGAAACAUUUUAAUCAAAUGAUUUUAAUAAAAAGGCAAGGGGGUGUGAUACGUGCAAUCGGUCGAGCUCAAGUAAGUUUUCUUAAAAUACCCACACAAGCUAUAUGUUAUGACAUGAUAAUUGCAUGCUAUAUUAGAGGCUAAGGGUAUGCUCAGAAUUGCAUGAUAGAAUGCUAGGAGAUAUACCUUUAUAUGCCUAUCUGUAUGAUCUUUUAGAUUUACAUGCUAGUAUCAGACCAGUUACUUGUUAGGAUGGCCUGUAUAGAGUAUGUUUUGAAUUGAAUUUCUUGAUGCUUGAAUGUUCCAUGCUUUGUGCUUUAGGAAAUUUUUUUGGUAAUAACUAACUAGUGAAUGAAUGUGUUAGGUUACAUAUUAUUGCGAUUGGAUAAUUUUAGAAGGAUAUGUUUAACUUUAUUGCGCAACUCUUGUUUAAGUCUAACCGUUGUAGUGUGGGAGAAUUAUUAGUACUAGUAGUAUGUAAUUGUGUUCAUGUAGUAGUUAAAUAGUACUUAUAGAGGUUCCUUCUGCAGCUGAUAGUAGAGAGGGGUGAGGAAAGGAGUCUUAGGGAGUCGCUAUGAGAUGUUUGGUGCAUAAGAUGUUUGAGGGAGGUGUCGAAGGUCAGGUUCGUUGUAUGAUGUUUGAGGGAGUGAGUCUGGGAUUGGUGGGAGGAGGUCGGUUAUGCUUUGGGAGCCCCGACCAUUACGGCCAUGACCUUGCCAGAUUUUGUGAGCAGGUUUCGAGCAGAGUUUGCACCGGCUGUUGAGGUACAACAGCUAUCCAGGGAGUUUCUUGAUGUGAGGCAGAUGACUGAGACUGUGGCGGAGAUCACCGCCAAGUUCAGAGAGAGAGCAUUGUCGGUACCAUAGUAUGUAGUUGAUGAGGAGAUGAGGAAGACCUGAUACCAUGAUAUGCUGAGAUAUGACAUCAGGGAGUUCGUUAGUUUUUCUUCCUGCCCGACUCUUCAUAUAUGAUAUCCAGGGCGUGUGAGUGAGAGAUUGAUCUGGAGCACUUAGGGAAGAGGACGAUAGAGCCUGGGCAGACAGUUUGGGUUUCAACGAAGAAACCCAAGGGUAUCGAAUAUAGGUCAAAGGGCCAGCAGGGCCGGAGCCGCUAUGGCAAAUGAUGUAGGUCACAUGACGAGGUUUGCGAAACGGGUGGUUCAGGAUACUAUAAGUGCGGCAAGACAUGGCACUGUAGGAAGGAUUGUACUGCUUCUAUCACCACCUCAUAGACAUCAGACUUGAUUUCCUUUCAUUUCAAUCAGAGGGGCCACAAAAUGCCAACUUCCUAAGUCUAGCAUUAGGAGGACCAGUGGUAGCACCAACUCCAGCAACCCUACAGAUCACAGAUGGCCGCUAAGGCAAGGCGGAUGCUCUAAUGGUGAGGAGCCGAGCCUUUUAGCUAACCGCCGAGGAGGCACGAGCUGCACCAGAUGUGGUGACAUGUAUGUCUCUUCUCCUUAACUCUUUAUUUAUGUUGAUUUUGUUGCUUAUGUUUUAUGUGUUUUGUUGUAGGAUCAUUCCUUAUGAACGGUAUCCCUGCAUUGGUAUUAUUUGAUUUGGGGGCUACCCGAUCUUUUGUGUCUCUUGCGCUCAUCAAGAGGUUUGUUAGAGCUCCGAUCGAGUUGGAUCAUCCAUUAGAGGUAGAGAUUGGGAAUGACCGAUAUGUCCGGGUAUCGAGGGUUCAUCGAGAUUGUGUUGUAGAUAUGUUUAGCAAGCGGUAUCCAAUCGUUUUGGUUCCAAUUCCUAUGUGCGGGAACAAGGUUAUAGUGGGGAUGGAUUGGAUGAGCCCUAAUAAGACAGUGAUUGAUUAUGAGUGCUAGAUGGUACGUGUUUGGACCCCAAGUGGGGGAGAUUUGGUGGUCCAUGGAGAAGGCACUUAGCGCGAUCCGGUCCCAUGCUCAGCCGCUAGGUCCAAAUGCUAUCUUCAUCAGGGUUGUUCUGGGUUCGUCGCCAAUGUUGUGGAUACCCAGCAGAAGGGUAAGGUAGUGGUUUAUGAUGUGUCAGUUGUGAGAGAGUACCCGGAUGUGUUUACGAAGGAUUUUUCUGGGGUGCCUCCGAAGCGGCAUGUGGAGUUUCAGAUUGAUUUGGUUCCUGGUGCGGCUCUGAUAGCCAAGUCAGCAUAUCGGUUAGCUCCACCAGAGAGGUUGGAAUUAACUACACAACUGCAGGAGCUAUUAGACAAGCGAUUCACCCGAUCGAGUAGCUCACCGUGGGGUGCUCCGAUCCUGUUUGUGAAGAAGAAGGGUGUAUCACAUUGGAUGUGUAUUGACAACCGGGAGCUGAAUAAGCUAACGGUGAAGAACCGUUACCCACUACCAAUGAUUAAUGACUUGUUUAACCAGCUUCAGGGUGUAUAUUGGUUUUCCAAGAUUGAUCUACGUUCGGCUUAUCAUCAGAUGAGGAUCAGAGAGGACGAUAUGCAAAAGACGGCCUUGCGGAAUCGUUAUGGUCAUUACGAGUUCGUGGUGAUUCCCUGCGGGAUCACCAAUGCUCCAUUCGUGUUCAUGGACCUCAUGAACCGCGUGUGUGUUAUUGUAUUCCUCGAUGAAAUCCUGGUCUAUUCCAAGACCCAGGAGCAGCAUGAUGAGCACUUGUGAGAGGUGUUAAAGACCCUAAGGAGGGAGAGACUCUAUGCGAAGUUCUCCAAGUGCGAGUUCUGGUUGCGUGACGUGUUGUUUAUGGGGCACCUUGUCAAUUAGAAUGGUAUUCUGGUCAAUCCUGCGAAGGUAGAGGCCAUGAUGAGGUGGGAAGUUCCGAGGUCUCCAUCCGAGAUUCGGAGUUUCAUUGGGUUGGUGGGUUAUUACCCUAGAUUUAUUCAGCAUUUCUCCAAUAUAAUAGUUCCCCUAACCCGACUGACAAAGAAUACUACCACUUUUCGUUGGGGGCCCGAGCAACAUGCAACUUUUGAGACACUGAGACAGAGAUUUUAUGAGGCACCGAUUUUAACCCUUCCAGAGGGUGGUUAGGAUUUUGUGGUUUAUUGUGAUGUGUCGAUCACGAGUUUAGAUGCAGUUCUGAUGCAAAGGGGUCAGAUGAUCGCUUACAUCUCGAUGCAACUGAAGCCUUAUGAUGCGAACUAUCCAACACACGAUUUGGAGCUAGGGUUGUGGUUUUCGCCCUCAAGAUUUGGCAACAUUACCUAUAUGGGGCCUGCUGUACUAUUUACACGGAUCACAAGAGCAUGAGGUACUUGAUGGAUCAGUCGAAUCUGAAUAUGAGGCAACGUCAGUGGUUGGAUGUGGUAAUGGAUUAUGAUUGUGAGAUCCUUGACCAUCCAGGGAAGGCCAAUGUGGUGGCCGAUGCUCUUAGCCGCGAAGCGGUCGCAACUUCGAUCAAGGAUAUUUGACUGAGGAUGGUAGUGAUUUCGAGAGGCAUAGAUCGAGGCUAUGAAGGAAGAGUACCAAAAACGUUAGUACAUUAUGGGGUCAGGUGGCUUCCUUUGACUGUAAUAGUCGGGGUUUAUUAACUCUUCAUCAGAGAGUGUGGGUUCCAUAUCGGGGUGGUGUGCAUCAGGUCCUGAUGGAUAAGGCGCACAAAUCGAGAUUCUCCAUUCAUUCCAUGGUGACGAAUAUGUAUCGGGAUCUUCGUACUGACUAUUGGUGGCAUUGCAUGAAGUGGGAUGUAGCUUGGUACGUGGAGAGGUGCUUGACUUACAGGAAAGUCAAGGUUGAGCAUCAGGGACCUCGCGGAAAGAUUCAGCCGUUGGAUAUUCCUGUCUGGAAUGGGAGGAGAUUACCAUGGAUUUCAGUAUCAAGUUGCCUCGGAAUGCGCGUGGUGUGGAUUCGAUUUGGGUCAUCGUUGAUUAAUUGACCAAUAGCACACAUUUUAUCCUGAUCCACGAGAGUAUCUCUGCGGAGAAGUUGGUUGAGGUAUACAUCAGGGAGGUCGUGGCACGACAUGGGUUGCUGGUUUCUGCGGUUUUUAAGAGGGACGUCUGGUUUAUUUCUAGAUUUUGGAAGAGAUUCCAUGACGAUUUGGGUACUCGUCUACAUUUCAGCACAACCUUUCACUCGCAAACGAAUGGUAAGAGCAAGCCGACCAUCCAUACAUUGGAGGAUAUGCUGCAGGCGUGUGUUCUGGAUUUCAGUGGUAGCUGGGAUACGUAUAUUCCGUUAGCGGAAUUUUCAUAUAACAACAGCUACCACGCUAGCAUCGAUCGACCUACUUUUGAGAUUUUGUAUGGGAGGAAAUGAAGGACCCUGAUAUGCUGGGGAGAGGUCGGUCAACGAGUCAUGGGAGUACCGAGGUGGUAGUCAAUACUACCGAGUUGGUUCAGUAGGUUCGAAGUAGACAUCAAACAACUCAGAGUUGGCAGAAAAGCUAUGUCGACAAGCGCCGAUCAGACUUGGAGUUUCAGGUUGGGGAAAUGGUUCUCCUAAAGGUGUCACCUCAGUCCUUUCAGGGUUAUAGCCCGGGUGGGCAUGGUAGCGUAUCGACUGGAUCUUCCAGAGAAGCUCAGUCAGAUUCAAAGUAGUUUUCAUUUCUUGCAGCUGUAGAAAUGUUUGGCUAAUAAUUCCUCAAUGGUUCCAUUAGAGGACAUUAAGGUGGAUGACCACAUGAACUACAUUGAGAAACCUCUAGCGAUCCUCGACAGGAAGAUGAAAACCUAGCGGAAUGAGGUUGUGGAGCUGGUUAAGGUGUAGUGGCAGCACCGUAAGGGCUUAGAAUGGACGUGGGAGCUGGAGGAUGAGAUGAGAGAGUAUUACCUAGAGUUAUUUCUAGCAACAGACUUCGAGGACGAAGUUUGAUCUAAGUGGGGGAGAAUUUUAGCACCCGAUUCGCCAGGUAGGAAGUUUCUUACUUAGUCUACUUUCAAUUCAAGUUAAGGUGAUGGAAGGAUGGUGAGUACGUUGGGCGUACAUUAUGUACUCAUGGUGUACUCGUUGCAUGCGCGCCAUUGGGGGAUCCUCAGCGGACGUUGGACGUAACCAAGUCAGAGGCAAACCCUAAUUUUUAGGGUUUGCACCUUAUUUAAGGACCUUAAGUCCCUCAAGUCUCUUACCUUUUCAACCUCCAUUGCUCUUGUAGUGCAAAUCUCAACCUUAAGCUAUCUUGAAUGCAUUUGUGAGCUUUCUUGAGUGUUUGUGGUGUUCUUUAGUGGCUUUGAAGGAGAAGGAAGCUUGGGAAGAAGCAAGGACGAGGAAGAAGCUUGUACAUCCAGAAGUUUGGCACCAUUUCUAACCCAUUGAAGGUAUAAAUGAACCUUGAUCAUUACAAGCUUAGAUCUAGGUUUAGGGUAGAAAAUGGGAUCUUUUGGUCCCACAGUUUGGAUUCGUGGAGUAUGAGCAACUUCAGAUCAUAUGAGCUGUCCUUUUGGACUCUUGGGGGUGUUUUGAGUCAUAAAAAUCUUAUUUUUAUGGCUAAACCUCAACCAUGCAUGUGUCAGUAAUCAUCUAAGUGAGUAAAUGGACUUAAUUCAUGAUUUGAGCCCCAUCCUUGCAUGCAAAAGCAUAAAGUUUGCAAUUUUAUGGCUCAAGACGUUAUUAUGAACUUGAAUCUAAGUUUUGGACAUUAGGAAUUAAUGGAUUAAAUCAUGGAAGUGUGUUUGGGUUGGCAGACCAGUACGCGAUGCGUGCUCCAGUAUACGCUGCACGUACUGGGUCAGCACCUCGACUCUGGGUUAACACCAGCCUAAGUUGGGCGUACAAGCCAAGUACGUCAUGCGUACGCAGUCAGUAAGCUUAGAAUAUUUUGGGCUCGUUUGGUGUUGGGCUUUGAACUUGUGUGAGUUAGGCCUCGGGCCCACCUGAUUGUAGUAGGUCAUUUUUGGGGCUUAGGCCAAGUUAGGUGUUCUUGGGUCAUAUUGGGCCUUAGAAGCCCAAUAGUGGGCUUGGAUACCUUUUUGGUUUUUUUUUAUGGAUUUGGGCCUUGGAGGAAAGGAGGACCAAUAAGUCAAAGGUAAAGGUGCCCUUUUGCCUUAAGUCAAGAAUUAGGGUUUUGGACUUUCGGGUUAGAAUGUAACCUAAUUUCUAAUUAGGUUUUUAUGCCUGUGCGAUAGGGAGAGGAGUUCACGAGUCAUCCGUUGAGUGCGAUUUGAUACCGACAGUCUGAGGUGAGUCUUCCUUCGCAGUAUCCGUGGGUCGAAGGCACCAAGUACGACCCAUUAGUUUAUGAUGUAGUGUGAUGGUUGUCUUUGUGAUAAUUGUUAGUUAUGCCUGUAUUUGCUUGAUGACUCUGUGAUUUCUGUUAUGAUAUUAUGUGGUAGUAGUAGGGGUGAAAUAGAACUGGUAUCCGGUUGAAUUAGACCGAAGGGGUUUGUAAGCACCCAUAUAUGCUUGAUCAUAUCCGUUUGAAAUAGACUAAAUAGGGUAGGAUAGCACCCAGAUAUGCUUGACAAUAUCCGAUUGAAAUAGACUGAAGGGGGUAGGCACGCACCCAUAUAUGCUUGAUCAUAUCUAGUUGGCAGUAUGUUCGUUUAGUAUGAGGUAUUUUGGAGGAACUCACUAAGCUUUGUGCUUACAGUUUUCAGUUUAUGUUUCAGGUACUUCCAAUACGAAUGGUAAGGGCCCGGCCUGAUCGCACUGCAUCACUCCAUGUUUUGCUGCACUUAGUGACUUUGGGAAUUUGUACUCUGAUAACAUGUUACAAUUAUACUCUUUUGUUUAUUUUGAUAUCAGUUUCUUAUGAAUUAAAUGAAUUUAAAAACAAAAUUUUAUUUGUAUUUUUGGGAGUUUACAUAAAGACUUGCAAACACCACCACUUCUUGAAUGAUCCUUCCUUCACAACCAAGAGCACUCCAAGGUCACUCUCAAGCUUUAAAUCACACUCAUAAGGCUAGGGUUUUGUUCUAAGGUUUAAAGGGAAUGGAGGUUGGAUGAAAGGAUGUCUAAGGAGGGAUAAUGUGAUUAAAUGUGGGUCACAACCCUAAAAUUUAGGGUUUAGGAACUGCGCAAGUGCAUCCGGUGUACCCACAUGUACGCUCAACAUAUUCCUUCAUCUGCCUUGACUUAUCUGUUGACUUAUGCUUGGCGUACAAGGCUAGUACGCCCAAUGUAAAUGGCUAAACAAAACAAUAUGAAGGGCUGAAAAUGAAAGUACCUGCCAAUAGGCAUGGAAAUUGCACCCGACCUGAUGGGGAACCAGGUUGACGGGCCCUAAUUGGGAAUGAGUAUUCCCCGUAAAAAAGGGUACCAUGGUAUGGGGCUGGGGAUCCCCAUUAUGCUAAAACCGGGGACGGGACCGGGGUCGGGUACACCAAUCCCCAACCCGCCAUGCCCCCGUAUUGAUGACAUUAUAUAUNUAUAUAUUGAUAAUUUAUUGAUUACGAAAUAAUUCCACUAAAAAUGGAUUGAUUUGUAUUGGACCGAGAGUCCGUAUACCAAAUUAUGUUACUAAUUCAAAGAGUUCUUUAAUCUUCACUUUGUUCGGCGGUCUGUAUACCAAAUCAUCACUUCUUGUUUUGAUGCUUGUUAGACUUUAUGAUUAAUGUAAACAUAAUCUAAUUAUGGCCUCUAGUUUUUUAUCACUUUAAUAAACUUAAUUUUUUUGCGUAAGUUUGGUUUAUUAUUUUGAUAGACCGGGGAUGGGUUGGGGAUGGGUCGGGGAAUCAUCUGAAGUGAUGACUGUGAUAUUGUGCCAUAAAUCCACACUUCACUAUGGAUUCAAAUCUACUCCAUUUAGCAUUGUCUGACGAUGUACAUGCUUUGUUAUUUGGUUUUUCGAGAUAAACAGAGAUGCCAAAUCCAUUGCAGUGAGUUUAAAACAACUUAACCCAUGCAUUACAAUUCAUUCGAUCUAAAUAAAAAAUGAAGGGAUACUGCAUCUUAUAUUUGUAAUUCCAUAAUAGUAGAGUUUCACUACAAGAAUUAGAGUAUUACCGGCGACAAGUGCCGCCGCUAAAAGUAGAGUUUGUCGCCGCUAAUACUAUUAGCGGUGACACGUCGUCACUAAAAGCCCGUCGCUGAUGCUUUGUCACUAAUAACCAAAUUGCCGUCGGGAAUGCGAGAUGUCGCAGCUAAAGGCUUGUCGCCGCUAAUAAGCGGGCGUCGCUGCUAAAGUCGUGCGCCGCUAAUAACUGAUUGUCGCCACUAAAUGCAUCGUCGAUUUGGUAUUUUUUUAUUUCACAUUAAAAUUGAGAAAAAACUGUAUAAAAAGUAUAAAAACUGCUAUGAUAUUAAUUAAUCUAAUCCUACAUCCUUCCAUUCCAAAAUAUUAAUCCAACAUCCUUUUAAAAUACUCAUCCAGUUUAACAUAAUACAAAAUAUCGAAAAUACUAGUCUAAAAUACUUACACAAACAAAGCAUACAAAAAUUCUACAUCUAGCUACUCAUCAUCAUCGCUCUCCUCGUUUCCUUCAAUUUCAUUUUGUUGUGGCAAUGAACGAAACCAAUCUUCAAGUGUGGCACUACAUGUCGGAUCUUUUAACUUUGCUUGAAACAUUUCCAACUACAAAGAAAACAACAUAGUCUUAUAAGUUAAACCAACAUUAUAACAUUCUAUAUACAAAAUAUACAUUCCACAUACAUGCAAAGUACAAAAUAUAGCAUUGUUCAAUAACUAAUAAUUACCAAACUACAAAAUACCAUUAUAGCAUUGUACUUUCAUAAACUAACAAUUACCAAAUUACACAUAUUGCAUGUAACACAUUAUAGCAUUGUACUAUAACUAACAAUUAUCAACCUACAAAAUACCAUUAUAGCAUUGUACUUUCAUAAACUAACAAUUACCAAAUUAUACAUAUUGCAUAUAACACAUUAUAACAUUUUACUAUAAGUAACAAUUACCAAACUACAAAAUAACAUUAUAGCAUUAAGCUUUCAUAAACCAACAGUUACCAAACUACACAUAUUGCAUAUAACACAUUAUAACAUUGUACUGUUUUUAUAUUUUUUCCAUUAUAGCAUUGUACUUUCAUAAACUAACAAUUACCAAACUACAAAAUAUCAAUAUAUCAAACUAUAACCAAACUUACAAUUACCAAUAUAUAAAAUAUUAUCAAACUAACAAUUACCAACAUUUCUAUUACUAAACCAACGAUUACCAACACUUGAAACAAUUACCAAAAUUAAAUAGUCUUGUCACUUGUGAUUGUGGCAUUGGUUGUUCCUAAUUGUACAUCAACACAACCGUAGAAGGUUUACGCUCGAUGCCUCUAAUAUGGCCUCGUCGAACAACAAAUAUGUGAUCUCCCUGUCAAAAUCCAAUUACCACAAACUUUUUCUUGUUUAUCGUAUCAACUUUGAUAGUUGGAUGUUUUUUGCUAGGCCUUUUCUUUUUUUAGGAAGCUCAGCUAAAAAAUAUAAUUAAAAAUAUUAGUCACAAUAGCUUAUAAUAAAUGGAUAAAAAUAGCUAAUGAAUAUAUCAUAAUAAAACUUACCAUUCUGUUCGAGUUGUCCACGACCAAAGCCUACUAGAGGUGGUGGAUCCCCGGCUCCAUCACCUCCAUGUUCUAAGCCCAUAACAUCUACCAUCACGUAGAAGAGUAUCGCCCAACUAAACCCCAAAUAUAGCCUGCAAAAUUACAAUAUGAGUAAGAUUUUACACAUUACAUAUACAAAAAUAAUACACUUUUUGUUAUAGCAUACUACUUUUUUUUCAUUAUAGCAUUGUAGUUUCCAAAUUGCAUACAAAUACAUAUACAAAAAUAAUACUUUCCAUCAUAGCGUCUUACUUCGAUUUUUUUCAUUUUUUUCAUCUAUAUCAUUAUAGCAUCCAAAUUGCAUACAAACACACAAACUACAUACAUAAUUUUUAUACAUACAAUUACACAUAUAAUAAAACAAAUACACAUUCCAUUAUACCAUCCUACUUUGUUUUUUUAUACAUAAAUACACACAUUAUAUAUAUAAAUACACUUAAACACACAUUAUACAUACAAAUACACAAUAUAACAUCAUACUUUUUUUUCAUUCUUUCCAUUAUUGCAUCCUACUUUUUCUUCAAUUUUUUCCGUACACAUAUUCAUUAUACAAUUUUUUUUCGGUACAUCAAACACAUUACAUACAUACAUAGUGCAUACAAUAUGAAUAACUAGAUUAGAAUACUUCAUGAAAUGGAAUAGAACCUGUUGUGGAAUGAAAUCAGAAUGGUGGUGGUGUUGUGGGGGUAAAAAAAAAUCUGGUGGCUUUGGUGGUGAUGAUGACAACCCGAAAUUAGAGGUCAACAAAGCUUAAUACACAAAAUCAGACACCCAAAUCAUUAGUUAGUCACUUAGAUAGCCGGUGGACAGCAAAUAAAUCGAGGAAAAAAAUUGGGAAUCACCUGUAAAAGUUGCAAAUCACCCGUCGCUGGUGAUGAGGCUUCCGUCAUCGGUAAUGGCGCUCUUAUCAUUGUUGAUGAUAAAGGUUGUGUCGCCGGUGAUUUUGCUUCGAUAUCAGUCGUCGACAAUUGCUAUGGUGAAAGAAACAAAUUACAGAAAGCAAUGGAGGAAGAUGGGUAUAUCUGCGAUGACAUUUAGCGGCGACGAGAAGGUAUUAGCAGCAACAUUAGGGUUUUAGCAGCGACACCCUUACGAGGAAAAAGUAGCUCCUUUUUUGGAGCAUUAGCGGCGAGGGUGUCGCCGUCAUUGAGGUCGCCGCUAAUACAUUGAGCGAAUAUCGUUUUCAACUGUUCGAUUUGGUCCAGAUUAACGAACACGGUUAACCAUAUUGUUUUGACGCAGAUCGUGAUAGAAAAGAGGGAUAUAUAUCAAGAAGAAGACUAAAAUUUGUACAAGAAAAUGAGCAAGACGAGAUAAUUGUCAACGGCUUAGAUGCCACGACUAAGAGCAUCUCCAAUGGUUAUACUAUGUUAUGAUUCAAAAUAAAUGUCAUAUUAUCAUUUUAUUAAAUUGACCUCUAUAUAAAUAAACACACCAACAGUUUAGCUUAUUUAAAUAGUUUUUUUUAAUAUAAAUUUAACUAAUAUAUCAACCUCUAUCUUAAAUAUUUUAUAAAACACCCUCAUUUAGAUAGUCAAUUUUUCAACACAAAUAAUUUUUUAAUACGAAAAUAUAAAUACAAAUAUNAUAAUUAUUAUGUUACAGACAUAGAAGUAAAACAUUGAAAACAUUAAAUUAUUGUCAUAAUUUUUUUUAUAAUGAGAUAUUAUCAAAUAUUUAACAGAAUAAUUAAUAGUAAAAUUAAAAGUAUUGAAAUUACAUUAGAAUUAGAUAGAUAAAUGAAAUAUGGUUAAACUAGAAUGACUUAUAUAUACAAAUUAUAUAAAUGUAUUGACCACUUAAUAUUAUAUAGAGUAAAUUAUUGAAAUCGUUUGGUCAAAAUUGCAUUUUUGGUCCGUAACUUUUUUUUUUGCACUCGGAUAGUCCCUGUGGUUUGAUUUUGUUGCGUUUUUCGUCCCUAUGGUUUGAUUUUGUUGCAUUUUUCGUCCCUUACAUAUAUAAAGUUAGGGAACAAACAUGCAAUUUUUACCAAACCAUAGGGACGAAAAACGCAACAAAAUCAAACCACAGGGACGAUCCGAGUGCAAAAAAAAAGUUAGGGACCAAACGUGCAAUUUUGACCAAACCACAGGGACGAUUUCAGUAAUUUACUCUAUUAUAUAUUAAGCAGGCGAACAUACGAUUUUACAGUAAGGGUUGCACGAGAGAGUUAGAGGUGCACGGUAGUAGAAAAAAUAAAAUGGUAAAAAAAAUAAAAACAAAAACAAAACAAAAAAGUUAUCUACUCCAAUGGUAUUAAGUGUUCAAUAUAAAAAAAUUUCUAUGAGAAAAAGUUAUAAAAAAACAUUCCACUAGAGAUGCUCUAAGAAAACGAAAAAAAAAUGUUUAAACGUGGAUAUUACCAAUUAUAUCAUGUCACAAUUCCUAUGAAUUCCUCUUUCAUUAAAUGACAACGUAGCCAAUUACAAUGAAAGAAUCGGACUUGGGGUUAAAUACAUGGGCGAUGAGCUAACUAAAUAAAUACAAGAGUAAAUUACUGAAAUCGUUCCUGUGGUUUGAUCAAAAUUGCACGUUUGGUCCCUAACUUUUUUUUUUGCGUUCGGAUCGUCCCUAUGGUUUGCUUUUGUUGCGUUUUUCGUCCCUAUGGUUUGGUAAAAGUUGCAUGUUUGGUCCCUAACUUUAUGUAUGUAAGGGACGAAAAAUGUAACAAAAUCAAACCACAGGUACGAAAAACGUAACAAAAUCAAACCACAGGGACGAUCCGAGUGCAAAAAAAAGUUAGGGACCAAACGUGCAAUUUUGAUUAAACCACAGUGACGAUUUCAGUAAUUUACUCUAAAUACAAGAUAAAUACCAUAAUAAAAAGGUGGUCGAUGACGGCUAGAGGAGAGAAAGAAGGUAGAGGUAACUAUGAUACCAUGGAGUAUUUCAUCAGGAAUAUAAUCGUAUAUUUGAUCACCAUAUUUAUACACAACUAGGUGUAAAAUCUGUGUAUUAUAUGGGUUGAUUAAAAAAAAAAGAUUAAAUAUUAAAAUGUAAACAAUAAAUAUUUUUUAAAAUAAAAUUUUGAAAUAACAAAAUAAAAGAAUGUAUUAAUUGCAAUUUAGUAUCAUAUUUAUUAUAUUUAAUAGGUUACAUAUAUAAAUAUAUAAAUAUUAUGUGAGUUUUUUAAUUUUAAAGAUUGAAAAACUUAUCAAUUAACAUGUGGAUAUUAUUUAUUUCAAAAAUAUCAUAAAAUGACAAGUGUUAAAAAAACUCAUAAGAGAUUAACAUUCGGUAAAAUAGAUCUUUAUAGUUGAUAGUUGAUACAAAGAUAACUAACUAUCCUAAUGGUAAGGAAGCUAAUAUAUUACAAAGCAUGUAUACGCACAAGUUAUACUUGAGAAGGUGAUCUACUAUAUACAAAUAUGUUUUCUUCCCGGUAUUUAGUUUUUUGUGCGCAAUCCUGUAUUUUUAUGAUGAUUGAUGACUUUGGAUCUUUUAAACAAAAAACGUCUCUUGAAACAAUAAAUACGGAUAAACGCAACGAUCUACAUAUAUAAAACCAAACUUGGUCAAUAAAUGGUAGAGUUCUAUUUUAAUAUAUAACAAAGAGUGGAGUCAAUUAGUUCUUUUAAAGCCAACAAACACUACUACUCUUUUAGUUAAUUUAUGCUUUAAUCAUAUAAACAUAAUACAAUCUUUAUACACAUACAUAACAACUCUUAGAAAUAUUCAAAUGUCUCCGGUGAUUUUUUUAGUAUAAGUUUUAGAUUUCUCUCACUCACAUUAAGACAAAAGGGCGAGGGGUUUCAAAAUUCACAUGACUUAAAGUUAACUCCACCUCUAAGUCCAUCUUCUAUAUUUAUUUAUUUAUUAGAAAAGAAAGAAAGAAAGAAGUAGGUGGUGUCACUUGGAAUACAUGGAAGGACUUAUUGAGUCAUACCCACAUUGUUUGGAAUACUUUGAGAAAAGAAAUGCUUUAGACAUAUCCAAAAAGGGAGAUUACAACUUGAAAACUAAGUCACAUAUUUGGAGGGUUUAUCCUUUUUGGACUCUUUCAUAGCAAUUGGUUAUAAAAAAAGAUUGGUUAGAAAGUUAAUGGAGUUGUAUCAUGAUGUGGGAUCUCAUUUUGAUUUUAUAAAUAUAAUAUUACAAUCAAGGCAUGAUGCGUAUAGAGUGUGUGUUCAAUUUAAUUUUUAGUCAAACAUAAAGUUUUCCAUUAGUUUACACCCAUAAAUGUUUUGAUUCCUCUAAGUGAUUUCUCCUUUUUUUUUUUAUCGAUCUAGACGAAAAGAAAUGAUUUUUUUUUUUCAUAUAGAGGUUACAACGGUUCAUAAUCAAUCUUUAAAUUGUGUUCAUGUUAUAUAUAUAUAUAUAUAUAUAUAUUGAGUAAUAAUUAACACAAAAUGAUAUAAGGUUAAAUCAUUUAUAAUACAAACACAGAUUAGAAAUGUAAAUGGAGUUAAAUAAUGAUUUUGAUUGGUUGAUUUUUGGCUUGACAAUGCACAACUUGGUGGGGGCACAUAGAGAUUUAGGCAAUCUUAAGGUGAUAAUAUAGGCAUCAAUUUCAAUCACAUCCACAAAGUAAGCAUGAUUAAUGGCCUUUAAAAGUGUUUUAUGGUAUUUGAUUAUCAAUAUUUUUUUCAAAAAUGGGGUGGAAGCCAUUACAAUCCAUUGUUUAUGGAAAAUUCUUGAUGAAUUGGGAAAGUUUGAUUGGACAAAAUGCUAAUGAAUCACCUCCCUACUAAAAAUUCCAAACAAGGAGGUUAGUUCAUGUGGGUCCUAAUGCCCUUGUGGGCCCACACAUGACAAAUAUGCUAUUUAUGGACCCUACCAUGGUAGGAUGAUGCCACCAUUCACAUGUUUUCCCUUCAUCAAUGGGUUGAGACCAUGUGCGUUCUUUUGCCUCCCAUCUUCAGGUGACAAAAUUGCGCUAGGGGNNNNNNNNNNNNNNNNNNNNNNNCAACCAUAGUUUAGAUCUUAUUUUUUCAUUCCAUUUUGAUAUAACUAAUCUUUACUUCCGUUUUGUUUUUUGCACCAUUAACAAAUCCACAAUGGGAAUAAAAGUUUAAUUGAAUUAAUUUAAAUAUAAUAUAGAAGAGAAAUGGUGGAGUUCAACAGGGAUUAAACCCAUCAUAGGAUGUUUCAAUGCAAAAUGGUGGGUUUUUAUGAAUUACUAAAUAGAAUAUACAUAUUUGUUUCUCUUAGUUGGUACUUCGUUGAAUUCUUUUCACUCAACCUUCAUUAGACGGCUCGGUACAGGCCAGUUAAAGGUUGUUAUUGCCAAGGUGGAGCUCCCUCAACAGUGUGGUAACGCCAGGAACACNCAAUGCAGUUUGUCAUCCCUUAAGUUUGUUAAAUAUUCUUUCCUUCAAGAAAAUGAUGAUUUGGCAGCAGAACAUCCUUGAACUACUGUGACUCAUACCCACCACUCUUAUGGAUGCAUUUAGUAUCACUAAAUCGGAUUUUAUAGUAAUUAUUUAUAUUAAAAUAAUACUGAAUUUAAAAUUUUAUGUGUUAAUUUUAGUUUGUUAAAUUUUUUAUAUUUAUUUAUUUAUAGGUGAUAAACAAUAUUAGAUAAUUAUAUAUCAAGUAUAAUAGUUAUUAGCUAUACUAUAUACUUCAAUUUUGAUCGUUAAUGUUUUUUAUUAUAAUUUUGUAAAAAUAUACUUUAUAAAGUUGUAAAAGAUGUAAAUAAAUUUAAGAAAACUUAUAAUUCGAUCGGAAUACAUAUACUAACCAAUAUAUUUAUUGAUAUAGAGAUAGUGCGAGUGAAAUAUAUUAUAUUAUAAUAAAAAAACAGUAAUUGUAUUUCAUCUUGAAGUUUGAAUAUAAUGUUCUUAAAAAUAAUAAUAAAAUACAUAAAUUAGCUUAAACAACUAGGCAUAUAUAACAAAAACUAAAAAAACUAGGUCGCUCGAAAUCCAUGACUAUUCUGUCGUCUGUAAUGUUUGUUUAGUGAUUUCCUAAAAAUACAUGUAAUUUUGAGAGUUAACACAAGAUUUGUGACAGUUAUAGGCUUUCUACUAGAGUAGUAGUGAUACCUUUAAAAUGACCAAAAUGUAUUUUCUUUGUAAGUAAAAAAAUACUAAAAAAUGUGUUUUUAGAGAUCCUUUUAAAGAAACUUUGAAAACCAGAAGGUGUUUUUCCAUAAGUAAAAUCAUACUUACAACUAGUUUUGAAGUGGGAGAGAAAACAAAUCAAUGGUUUGUAGAGAAAUUAUCAAUGUUUAUAGUGAAUUUUAUAACCGAGCUAUACAACUAGAUUACCAUCUACGACACUUCAUUGGAUGUCGUAGCGCUGAUAAGACCCGCUUCGAUUUGUCGUUGAUGUUGUAGCUAGAAACCGCAGGUAGGGGUGUCAACUCGUAUAGAUCUAUACAUAUGUAUAUCACUUCGAAUGAUUAACUGUUAUAAUAGUAAGUGUCUUCUAAGUAUUUCUACCUAUGAAAAUGAAUAGUGUCUCACUAUAAAAGUCACCGACUAGUAUAUACGGAAAACUCACAACCCUAACUUAUAUGUUGUUAAGUCACUAGGAAAAAUGAUUUACGUUACAUAAAGUUUAUAAAAGUCGAGUAUCUUCGAUAAGUAUAUAUGUAAAAGUGUACACUUGCUUAAAUAAGUGGUAAAUCUCAUAGUAGUGAUCACAUGUACAUGUAUAAAUUACAAGCUAUAAUAUUUAUAACUAGGAUACAUACAGUAAAGUCCCAAUAUUUUCAUUGAUUUGAAAAGAAAGUCAUAAAAUUUAUUUUUUUGACAGUAAAGUCCAAAUUAUCGGCAGUUUUUGAUACUUUUACCAUUUUUUCCCGGUUAGCCGGUAAUUAGGACUUUUUUGUCAACAAAAUAAAGUUUAAGACUUUCUUGUCAAAUCAUCAAUUAGGACUUUACUGUCAAAAAAAUAAAGUUUAGGACUUUUUUUGUCAAAUCGUUGAAAAUAUUGGGACUUUAGUGUAUAUAUAAUUUUUUUGGUUAAAAAUUUUAUGGUAUGAUACUCUUUAAGCAUAAGAGUUAUUGAAAUCUUCUCUAAUCAGCUAGAUCCUAUUGAAAUCCUUUACGCUUGUAUCUUGUUAAAUCGUUUUUUUAAUCUCAACAAAACGACAUUGAAAAAAAUUGAGAUAAUCAAGAAAGAAAGAAAGAACCAGGGUUGUGUUGGUUUUUUGCAGUCUCAAAAAUAGAGAAAUUAGAAACCUAAAAAAAUGAAAUUGCUCUAGCUUUAUACAAACACAAACAACACAUGCCUAGCCAAAAGGAUGUGAAUGUGGAGAAGGGAAAGAAGGGCAAUUUCGUUUUUUUCGGUUUCUUAUUUCUCCAUUUUUGGGGCUGCAAAAAGCCAACACAACCCUAGUUCUUUCUUUCUUUCUUUCUUUCUUUCUUUCUUUCUUGAUUAUCUCAUUUUUUUUCAAUGUCGGUUUGUUGAGAUUAAAAAACGAUUUAACAAGAAGCAAACGUUAAGGAUUUCAAUAGGAUCUAGCAGAUUAGAGAAUUUUUCAAUAACUCUUAUGCUUAAAGAGUAUCAUACCAUUAAAUUUCUAACAAAAAAAAUUAUAUAUACACUAAAGUCCCAAUAUUUUCAACGAUUUGACAAAAAAGUCCUAAACUUUAUUUUUUAGACAGUAAAGUUUUAAUUGACGAUUUGACAAGAAAGUCUUAAACUUUAUUUUUUUUGACAAAAAAGUCCUAAUUACCGGCUAACCGGGGAAAAAGGGUAAAAGUGUCAAAAACUGCCGGUAAUUUGGACUUUACUGUCAAAAAAAUAAAGUUUAGGACUUUCUUGUCAAAUCGAUGAAAAUAUUGGGACUUUACUGUAUAUAUCCCUAUGACUAAUAUCAUAACAAAAUUCGUAAAUAUCACUAAUAGUNUGACAUUCGAUUUAUGACAUGCAAUUAUCACAUAAAAUCAUAGCAUUCGUGUAGUAAGUAGCAAAAGGUCACAUUCAUGAAUGGCCUAAGAACCAAAUGGAUGGCGGUGAUGUCUAGUAAAAGCUCAUGAACAAUUCAAACUUACUCCUUGGCGAAGCUAGUGGGGAUUCUAAAAUGACAUGAAAGUGCAGUGACCAAAGAAAUGAAUGUUGUUUCAUGCAUGGGAUCUUUAGCUCUCAUAUCAAAAGGAAAGAACGUGGGUGAAGAAGAAGAAGAUUUACUUCUAUCAGAAUUUGAUCUAACCAAUGAAGAAUAUGCUUUGAUGAUCUCUAAUCCAAAUAAGUUCGUGUGUAGAAAGUUUCCUAACUCCAAGAACCGAAACUAGUAAGGAAGCUACAGUUUGGAUAAAGCAAAGGAGGAACCAAAGAACUCUCCUCAGCAUGAAGAACCGAAGAAGGAUAGUAAGCUUGUCAGUGACUCUGGAUUUGAUUGUCACUUCUUGCAAGGGAAAAAAUCACUUUGCCAAAGAUUAUGUCUUGAGAAAGAUGUCAAAAAAGAACGAGAAUAAAGACGAUGAAGCCUACUACCUGCAAAAGCUAGAAGAAAUAAAGAAGAAGAAAGUUGCUGCUAACAACACUAUGAAUGCUUUAAUUGUGCAGGAAAAUCUCGUGGAUGAUGAGUUUGGUGGUGUGGAAGUCUGGUCUACAAACUCUGAGGAUGAAGAGGUUCGUAAGCCUACACAUGGCAGGGCUUUCGUGGCGAAAGAAUCUGAAACUGAAGGUGCAGGGAAGUGCUUGAUGGUGACUGCCGAAGUGUCACAGAUGAGAGGCUACACUACUAAUGGGGUUAUGAUAAAGAAAGGGAGUGAGAAGACAGGUGCUUCGCUACCAAACCAGUUGGCGAGCAGAUCAACGAAUGCGACCAGUUGAUCAAGAAGGUACAAUCAAUUCUCGAAUCAUUAAAAAUCCCUGUCACAAACUAUGAAAAAGAACUGAACAAAUUAAAUUGAAAUUUUCUAGUUUAAGUGGUAGUUUAACACAAAAUCGCCUCACAAAUUCUAACCUAACUGAUCAACUCAGCAGAGUGUCUUCAAAGAGUGAGGAGAGACGGAUGUGGAUACAACAAAAGGAGAACGAGUUAGUUAGGAUUAAGGAUGAGACAAUAUGCAAAGGGAUAAUUUAAAUCUUGUAAAACAGAGAAUUUUUUUUUAAUUGCUAAAUUUUAUAUUCCAAUAUUACCCAAUUGCAUCUGGAUUGUGAAAUAGGCAAGAAAAUUCAUAGUAUCAUUUUGCCCUUCCUUGAGUUUAAGGAGGAUGAAAUUGAUGCAGAUGUAUAUAACUAUGAAGCUUUUGUAAUCGGUAUGGUGAUAAAUAAAAGGUGUUUUAUUUAUGCUCAAGGGUUUGAGGCCAUAUGGGAUUAGUAUUAUUCUUGUGUUUCACUUUGCAUGUUUUGACUUCCUGAAUAAUUUAAUUGGUUAAGAACAGUCAAAUUAUUCGAACGGGCCACAGUCGUUCAUAUGUUGGAAGUAGGUAUGAAUGAAGACUGUCGUGAAUUGGUGUGUGGAUUGUCUAAAUAGCAUUAGACAUAAGCAAAUUUUUGCUGCAACGUUCAUGAGUGCUUAUGAAUAUGAAUUUGAGCAUUGGAUUAAGUCCACGCUCACUUGGAUCACUCCAUGGAUGGUAUCACGAGUGAUUGGUGAGACGAUAACAUAUUAUAUUCUUGAAACCGAUAUGUGUGAGUUGUAUCUUGCAAAUCGGUUACACAUUGAUAAUAUGUAAACACACUAGUAACUUGGUGUUAUAAAACAUAUUGUUGUGUGUGAUUCGGUGAGUAAGUGCAAGCAAGUAUUGUAUCAAAGUUUAUCCGUUCCUUUUAUCCAAAGUAGGAUGAAAGCGAUAUCUUUGGGCCCCUCGAUGAUUUAGUGAUGACAAACGUAAAUGCUCGGCCGGGCUAGGGCUAAUUUGAUUUGUUCAAUUAGUCAGUCGUCAUAAAUCGGAAGUCGAGAAAUAGUACAAAGAGAAUGAUUUGAAAUCAUAUCUCAUAUGAUAUCUAGAAUGGAGGAAUAUAUGAUCCCUUAUCUAAAGGACACGCGUAUCUGAUAGGAUCAGAGUUGACAGCGGCUUUAGAAAGCUACGAUUGCAGAUCAGGAUCUGAAGUCAUACGCAUAAUAGUUAUUAGACUUAUCCAAGUGGGAGACUGUUGGAUUAGUGUCUAAGUCCAUAACUAUUUUGGUAUGUACUUGACCCGAUGGUGCAUGGUCCUUUUGGGUUGCCUUCACCAAAGCAACUUGAUAGGAUGAAUUAUGGAGAGAAAGGAUUAAAUAUGAUUUAUUAAUAUAUUAUGAGAAUAAUAUAUUAAAGGAGAAAUCAUAUUGUUUAAUUAAUAUUAGUCAAGAAUUAAUUGGUAAUUAGUUUUGUGACUAAAAGAGAUUAAUUAAACUUAAGGGACUGGAAUUGUAAUUAUAAGAUAAUUGCAAUUUGGGCCAUGGAUUGCCUUUUAUUAUAAGGUGGACGAAUUCUAUGGGGGAAGCCCAUAUGAAAUCGUCCAAGGCCUUAAGGAAAGGGCUCCAUGGGUUGCUUAGGGCUUAAGCAUCCAAAUUAGGGUUUCCUUGUUAGAUAACCCUAAUAGCUUCACUAUAUAUAGAACCCUUAAGGCUCAAAAACGUGGGGAACUUCUCUUCUAGGGUUAGUACACGUUUUGGGCAGCCUCCAUCCUCUCUCCUCUUCAUCCUCUUGCUUAUGGUGUUUGUGAACCAUUAGAGGAGUGACACUUGUGACUCUAAGCCUUCCAAAGUCAAUUCAAGGAGGAAUUGGGAUUGUUAUUGCUACAUAACAAUCAAGGUAAUAUCAUAAACCUAAUUAUAUGUUAAUAUUGAUUUCCAUAUGCUAGAAUUAGGGUUUAUAGUCUUGGAUUCAAAGCAUGUACAAUAGAGAAACCUAGAUCCAAGCAUUAGGGUUUGUAUGAGCACAUAGGAUGUCUUAUGACCAAAACCCAUCAGUGGUAUCAGAGCCUAGAUUGGUUUCUAUUGUAUUGAUGCAUUGUAUGAUUGAUAAAUUCGUUUUUUCUGUUUCUGGAGGCUGGACUCGCCGAGUCCAUAGAUGAACUCGCCGAGUCCAAGGUGACUUGACGAGUCCAUGCCUAACUCGGCAAGUCGGCUGGUCAGAUGGAGGGAAAACCGGGACUUCUUGCUGUUUUUGCUUAAGGAUAGUUGCCUUAUCAUAUUAGAUCAAUAUAAAUCCGAUUUUAUGAUAUAUUUGACUAUAUUCUUGAUCUAAUUGAAGAUAUUUAUCAAUUAAUAAAAUAUUUGUUUCCUUAUGUGAUAAUUGAUUAAUUAUUUUGAUUAAAUUGGUAAAUUGUUUUGCAAGAAAUCAUUAAAUAAAUCAAAUAUGGAUAAUUAUGUGAUUAAAUGUUAAUUUAGAUUAUUUGUUAUUUGAUCCUUGUUGUUAUGAAAAGUUUCAUAUUUUCCCCUUUAGGUUUUAUAGUUUAAAUUUGAACCCAAAAGUUUUGUUGUUUUGAAAUUUAAAUAGUUGAAACCCUAAUGUUUUGAAAAAGGUUUCAAAACUUGCCCUCAAGUUUAGGAAUUUAAAUUUUUAUUAAUACUUUAAUUUUGAUGUAUAUUUAAAUUCUAAAUCCUAAUGUUUUGAAAUGUUUCAAAACUUUCCCUCAAGUUUUGGAAUUUAAAAGUUGAUUAAAAGUUUAAUUAGGAAUGUUAAAUUCUAAAACCCUAGUAUUGUUUUGAAAAAGUUCAAAUUACACCCUUAUGGUUUUAUUAAUUAAUUAAGGUGUAUAAUUAAAAGAGGUUUAAUAAAUCCAUAAAAGUUUUGGUUUACAAUUUAAUUGAAUUAAAAGUAUAAUUGUUAAAUUUGACCACCUAAUAUUUUAAAAGUGUAAAAUACACCCUAUACUAUAUAUAACAUUAAAAGUCUAACAUUAUAUAUAUGUAUAACUAAAAGUCAGUCUUACCGUUAGUAGGCCUUAUUCACGAAGCUGGUCUAUAAGGGGUGUUUAAGGAAAUUCCCUAUAAAAUGGUCUGAAUAGGUAUCCACUCAUACCCACCGCACUCUUGACUAGUGGAGGGAUGUUAGCCGAACAGGUAGGAUAGGAUGAAAACCUUCCAUUAUAAGUAUAAUGAAUUACAAAAGUAACUAAAUGUUUUCAUAAAAUUCCCAAUAUUAGUUACUUAGGCAAAAGUGAAUUGAUGCAAUUCCAUGAAAUUACACUUUGUGCCCUUGCGAAGACGUUAGUGGAGCGUGUGUGGUUAACCGGCACACUAAAUGGGUCUAAGAAAAGGUAGCAAAGGGUGACUCAAUGUUUGUCAUAGUUCGGUGGAGCGUGUGUGGUUUACCGGCACAUCGAAUAGGUGACUGCAACAUGUGAGUGCACCAUGUAAGUUUGCAUGGUUAUUCACACCCGCUUUGUGAUCCUCGGCAUCCCAGUCACAAACAAGAGGGGCAUAUCGAGAUUUAAACAUGCCAUUGAAAUGUUCAAUGAAUCUCAAAGGAUCUAGGAGUUUUCAUAGAUUUAGAACUUAAAUUUCUUUUUCAUUUUUCAUGGUGGAAAUUAGUGAAUCGUCAUUCACUUACCUUCAAAUGUUCUGCAAUUUGGGUUACGGCAUCCCUCUCCCGAGUUGUAGAAUAUUGUGUUGGGUCCUAGCCUUAGUAUCUCAUUUAAGUGAUUUACUAAGGACUCAAUC